CGUCUGGCAAGGAUGCUGGGGCGUAUAUGGUCCCACCGCAACUCUAUCGUUCCCUUUGGUCGUUAGUAUCCUUUAUCACUUGCUUUGUCUGAAGUGCGAGGUAGGAUGGUGCUUACUGGCGAUCUGGCAGCCCUUGAGCCCUCGGCUCGUAUUAGGGUGGUUUGCAGGUACGGGGAACACACCCACGACCAUGUAAAACACACAUAUGGUCUGGUCUGGGUUGACACUACUGCAAUUAGCGGUUUAAGGUCCUGGGUUCGAUUCCUGGGGAGACCCCCGAAUUAGUCGGGAGCGCGAGAUUAUGGCUAGCUGCUGAGAUGUGGAGUUGAGGUCACAGUUGAUGGACCAGAUUCGCACGCUAGAUUGGUGGCGAUUGCCGAACCCUCCGUCUCUUCGGGUGUUCGGGUGAAUGGAAGAGGAGGGAUCCCUGAAGGCUGGAUCCGCCGCCUUGGACUUACAGUUCGUAUGGCGAAGUACAGUGUGGUAGUGGUGGAUGGUGCUAUAAGGUGAUAAAUGAUCUAGAACUGACAAUGUGAUAAAGCGGCCCAGAAGCCUCCCACUCUGUAACAUUACAUUACAUUACAUUACAUUACAUUACAUAUAACACACACACAGCUCAGGGAUAUCCUUAUUAAACUUCCUGAUGUGCUAGUAUAGUAGCCGAUGGAUAGAUGUUGUAUCCAGUGGAGUGGUAGCUGCACACACCAAUCACCUACCAUGAUUGAUGCCAUGCUGGUGACUGCAAUACAUGUGCCUGCUCUACCAUAUACCAAGCAACUACUCACCGCAGGGAGGCGGGCCACGUUUGGGCUCAGCACCCUGUGUCGAGAUAAGAAAAUUACCACCCCCAAGCUAUGUAUGUCUCUCUAUAAUACACUAGGGAGGAAAACGCAGGGGUCACCCAAGGUAUUCGGGCACUCCCACCGUGCAUCAAGCCGCUUAGUAAAUACCUUAAGAAUGCUCUCUACCGGCAAUGUAAGGGUGGCGUAACGUGCUAUGAGAUCAUCACCGCGCUAAUUAGUGGGUGGUUCCGCGCUAGUAAGAAAGGCUAGUACCUUGCUUGUUCAGCACUCAGUAACACCCUCGAGUGCCAACUCCAGGUCGGCGGCAAAGGCCUGAUGACACAGCGUUCCCGGCCUCUCUACCACGGAGUUCCAAAACCUAAGUACAAGAUUGGUGCAAUGGAACUGGAGCGGCCUCUGUGACACCUCGCGGUGUAGGGAAACCAUAGUCGGGCUCCUCGCCCCAACGACAGAUCGCAUAUACGCACGCUGCUCCUGGACCACGGGAUUAGUCAUAUCGCCUUCAAAAUUAACACUUAUGAAGUCAUGUCCCCAAACUUUUGCUCCAUAGGAAAACACCGGUACAACUAGUGUAUUAUGAACAUCCUGGCCGGCAGACUCUUACCAGGGUUGCCCUCAGAAGAUGUGUACCUUUACGGAGCACAUGCUUGCUGGCAGCGUGCCGAAUUGCGAGCAGGAGCUGCGAAGAGACAUGCAUAGCUUGGGGAUGGUAUUUUUCUUAUCUCGACACAUACUGCUGAGCCCGAACGUGGCCCGCCUCCCUGCUGCGAGUCGUUGCUUGUUACAUGCUGAAAAUUGCGCUCCUGGGCCAUAGUGCAACCCGAGGUACCGUGCCGCCUUGUUGUAGCGCGGUAGCUACACAGUAAUGAUAAGUUCAUUAAGAGUUAUGCAAGUCUGAUUAUGAGUAAGAAAUCCUUUGAAACAGAUAUGGCUGUCAAAGAAUUAUUUGUAAUACACCGGAACUAACGGAACUUACCAUCAAGGAUCUGUACGGCAUUCAUUCCUGAAAUCCACGAACUUAUCGAAGUUGUCUUUGCUCACAGCAACACGUAGUCGUGUAAAAAUUUAUAUUCUGUUCACGUUAGGAGCGAGGUUGGAUACCGUGGUCGAAGCAGUGCCGGCCUGAGACAGACUUCACGUGUCUGUUGGCAUUGCAUUAAGCUACAAACAUCUUUGGUGUCUCGGUACGUCUUUAAACUAUAUACUGAUUAAGAAAGCAGAGAAUUUGCCUAGUUUAGGUUGUCAGCCGCCUCCGCAUCUUUGGGGCGACUGGGUCAACCUCUCCGUGGAUGAACGCAAAUCCACUUCGCCACGUCAGCGAAGCGUUGGUCCAAGUUCCUCCAGCUGGCCUACGACUCUCCGUUCAAGGUUGGCGGCUUUGGACGCCACAAUCUGAUAAACCGCAAUGAGCCCACCGACGCCUACCGAUUCAAAAAACGUACAUGACGCUGUUGUUUCUCAACAAUUCACGAAUCCACCGAACCUACUGAACUCGGCGAAGCCUCCGAACACCGAACCGGCUAGGGAAGCUGGCGGCUCCGCCGAUCCCUCACAUACCGAAUACGAAUUACUUACACUCAAACUCAAACUCGUCCAAGCGGAAAUCGAGUUGGCACGUUUGAAAGGCGCUGGUGCCGGUCCUUCGACUGCACCCGCUCCGAUAGUGAGUACCGAAGCUGCAAGUAUAUCGCGUACCUAACCACCUAAGCACGUUUCACAUUCCGAUCCUAACCACCGCAGCCGAUCAAGAACAGGAGCCUGGAGACUUUUGUGAACGAUUUCCAGGAACGGGCAGCGAAGUAUGUCCCAAACAAUUUGGACGACGCACUGUGGCAGCUUCGGCAUUCCCUUUGCGAAGAUCCGUCUGGUGCCGCCGAAUGGUUCUCUGAAUACCGGACCAAAUUUGAAACCACGAAUAAACCGAUCCACUUUCCGGACGUCCCGAAGGCCUUCCUGGAUUAUUUCGAACCGAAGGUACGCACUCAGUCGAUGCACUCGAAUCUUUACUGAAGGGGGAGGUUAAGAUGGACGAAAACUAGGUACGAUUGUGCAAUUCCUAUUGUUAAAAAAAAUUGCAGACCCCCCGGCAGGGUCGAUCUCGCGCGGCUAUCCACUACGCUGCUGCCGCCCCCUCGAAAAUCAAACACCGUCCUCAUGUUUCUCGGCAGGAUGGGUCGAAGCCAACGGGAAAGCGGACUAUCGAACAGCAACCCUGGCGCGAUGCUGUGGCGAAGCGCGUCAAGGUGGAUUGCCCUCCAACAACCGAAGCCGCACCGAACAACGUCCGUCAGACAGAACAUCCUGCCACGUCGACGCCCACAUUUCCUGAUCGGUCUGUGCCUACUCCUUCAUUCCUGUCGAAAACCACAUCAGAUGCCAAGAUGACGCUGAUGCAAGCUGCCCUGGACCGACCCAACGAGCCAUCCAGAACCCCGAAUCCCCUGUGGCCUGGAACGUUCUUGUCGAAUUUGGAGAAGUAUCAAUGGAUGAAGCAAGGGAAAUGCUACCGUUGUGGAAUUCAGAAUGAUCACAUCAGUUCCCGUUGCCCGAAUCCGUUGGUUUCUCCGGACAUGUUUCGCCGACCGAAAGAUCGAUAGGACAUUGCCCAGUCGUAUUUGCGUGGCAUGCGUACUGAGGUAACGGAACUGCAUGGUUUCCUUAUUAGUGAUUUUAUGUUAAUUGCGACAAGUUGAGAACAGGAUCGGAUAUGCGUUUUCUCUAGCGACGAUGGUAGCAAUUCUGUUUGUAGAACGUUUGCUUCUCCUACUCCGAUUGACACCAUUGGAAGAAGAUAAGUUGUAAAGCAGGUAAAGGACUUGCUGGCUAAAGGGUUCAUUCAACCCUCGACAUUUCCUUUUGGUGCGCCAAUCCUCUUUGUGACCAAAAAACCCGGUGAACUCCGAAUGUGUAUCGAUUUCCGAUCUCUGAAUCAAACUAAUGUUUAAGAACCGAUGUCCAUUACCACGAAUUGACAAUGGAAAAUGAGCAGGGAUUCCACAGGCAAAACAUCCUGCCGGUGCUCGCAUGCACUGAUCCGCCAUAGCGCUCCUGCCCAGGCUAUGAAGGUGUUGUUCACCCAGGCCUCCAUUACAUCGUUUGGUGAAAACCCUAAUACCCUAAGCCUCCAUCACAACAAGGGUAAACCACGCCAUCAGUUCCGGUGCCUUGAGCCUUGACCCAGUUGACAGUGGAACAGUCCAGCGCAGUACGGCAAUAGCUGUUUUCAGGUUUGACAACAACUGGCAGCAUGUCUUUGUGGGCAAGGUCGACCAGGUGCAUGCUACACAUCCUCAUGUAGUGUCCAUCACGCCCAUACGUUUCUCCUCAAUCCUGCGUGCGGAGGCACAAGGCCAGAGUGGCUGUCUCUUCCACAGCUGCAAUUUUCACACCAGGGUUUCCACGGUGCAGGGCGACCCAAACCCUAAAACCCCAAAAGACCGUUCCAACAAAAAUCAAGAAAUGGAGAACUCUCAUGCACAUGCAAAACCCCCGCCACCCCCCACUCUCCCUCUUGUGGUAUCCGCUUCACUCGUCGGUGGUUAGUCUUAUUACCCGCUCUCCGUCCUCCGCAGCAACCCAGCAGCAAUCCUCCAUACCUCCAUACGCAUCCGCAGGGUCAGCAGCUUACCACCGGCCCGGCAUCUCGCCCCAGGACACUCACACCGCCGCCGCCCUUGGGGGCGCAGGCUGUGAUACCGACUCUACUUCUACCAGGCGCUCACGUCCCGUACGAGAGACGUCGAGGCAAACCCAACCCCCGACCCCAAACCCCACCCGCCACCACCACCAUGAAGCGACGGAGCCGGCGACGCAGCCAGCAGCCGUGCCGUACGCGCCAGGUCAACGGUCGGCAGAGUGGCGGACGCCAAUGGCGCUGCCGUACCAGCGGCGGCGGCGUCUCGCAGUGACGCCAGGCAGCGUGAGGCCAGGUCAGCCUGUACGACAUUGCAGGAGCAGUACGACGACAGUGAUCGUGGUGAAAAGAGGAUUCCCCACCACCCGCGUGGAAGUGGCGGGGAACUAACUCCUCCACUCGGGGGUACGUGCGAUGAAGGGAAAGAGGAGUUGCAGCAACCUUACAACAACCUUAAAACAACUUUACAACGACCUUACAACGACCUUAACGCACAUAGGCAAUAACGGGUUACGGCCCCUAGGACUGGGUGGAGUAUUAUGAGCUGCGCGACCCCGCUAGAGGGCGGGGCGGUUAUCCUGCGCUUCAGAUAGGGCUGGUAGGGCGGUGUGUAGGGCACUGCGCUGCAACGGGACCGGCACCAGCAGCUGUAGCAGCCACACCUCCGACUGCCAGCCACCACGUAUACUCCCUCUGCCCCUCCUCUGGCACACACACACACACACACACACACACACACACACCGCCGCCGCCCAGCUGGCAUUGGUCGGGCAUGUUGCAGAAAACCACACCCCCUCCCUAUCCCGUACAGCUGAUGUCCCGGUGCUUCCCCUGCAAACCCCCUAACCCAGCCCUGACCUCAUCAACACCCCAUCCCCCCAGCUAACCCCCUCUUUCCCCCCAUAACCCCCGCCCGCACACGUCACCCCUAAACCCACCUGCAAAUUGACACACGCCUGCGCCAUCAGGCGGCAAUGCGGAUCCACGUCAUCCUCCGACACUGUACGGCACCACCGGGAAACCCACUCGAGCCGUUCCGCCAAGCCAUCACCACAGCCAUCGCAGCCGCCGACGACGACGACGACCCCUCCGGCGCCUGCAGUGCCUGCAGCGGCAGCAGUAGCCCCCAGCAGCGCCCCUGCUACCGCCGGCGGCGGCAGCUGAGCGAGCACCUGACCCGCCGCCAGCAAGGCAGCUCGCCGUACGUACGGCUCGGGAUGACUAUGAACCUGCGGGUCACGGGGAGUCGGCGGGCGAGUGGGGCGGAUAGCGCUGUUACGUAGCGUUGAUAGGUAAGCCGGAGAGGCGCGGGACCGCCCUUUACUUCUGUGUUUGCAUUUCUCCGGGUUACCUUAUCCUAUUACGUAAUGCUGUUGAAGAAGAAGAUGAUGAUGAUGAUGAUGAUGAAGACCAUAGGCGUCGGAGUAGGCGGAGGCCGGGAGCCGUCUCGGCGCUCGUACGGACGUCACUCGACCCCCCGCCCCGCCCAUUCUAACAACAACAACCAACAACAACAAUAAUAACAACCAAACACAGCACAGCGCAUAGCAUAACAUCACCAACAAGUAUCACCAACAAGUACUCAGGGGUCCCUCCCCCCGUUCCCUAGGGUUUCGGAGCCCCCAUUCGGCUUUCAUUGCAUCAACCCCCGGGGCCCCCCCUUCCCCCCAACCCCACCCCACCCCACCCCACGUAACCUGCGGCGCCCGAAUGAGCUCCAGGGUGGCUCUCGCGAGUGACGUCAUUGCCGUACUACCCGCUGCCGCCUCCGCAAACGUCGCCAAGGUGGUGAGCACCCUCCCCAGCAGCUGGUGGUCCCGGCCCAGCAGGUCCACUCCGUGCUUCACCUUGUCCACCUGCCGGGGGCGGGGAAGGGGGAAGAGGGGGGCCGAACUGUGUGUGUGUACGUGUGUCUCAGCGUACUUGCGGUGUGUGUGUAUGUGUAUGUGUAUUUGGGGGGGGGGAUGACGGCACGCGAUCUGGCCAAGAGGGGAGUCCCCCCGGGGGUUGGGGGGCCGCCCGAACGUGAGGUGGUGUUGGUCCGCAUGACCACGGUGGGAAGACACGCGCGAAGCUCCACGACGGCGGCAAAACACGCGACGGACUUGGCGGAGUACGGGCCCCGGGGGGGAGGGGGAGUGCUUGUGCUUGUCUACGGCGGCAGUAGUUCCCUCUGAAAAGUGACAAGGUGCGGCUGCGGUUGCUGUUGCGGUUGCGGUUGCGGUUGCGGGUAUGGGCGCGCCUGGGGUCACUGGGCCUCCGCACAUUGCUGGGCCGCUGUUCAACGCAUACAAGGGCUCUCGGCUGUCCCCUCCCCCUCCCCCUCCCCCUCCCCCUCCUCCCUCCUAGCCUAUCCGUCUAUCUCUGAUAUCUGCUUCAUUCGCCAGUGGUUCGUCUUAACCCCCACCCCACCCCGGUCUUCUCCCCUCUUCGCCCACCCCUACCCCACCCCUCUACCCCCCUCCUCUUCCUCCGAAACCCACCUCCCGGAGCAGCCCAGCCGCCCACCGCAACGCCACAUCCGCGAAGCGAUUUCGAAACGCGCCGCCGCCUCCGCCGCCGCCACUGCCCGCAGCCGGCCCUCCCGAACCAACGCCGCCGCCAGCCGCCGCCGCCGCUGCCGCCGCCUCCUCCUGCUCCUUCAGCUUCCGCAGCGCCACGGGCGCCCACACUCGCGUCCUCGGACCUCCCCCCCGAACCACACCCACCGCGCUCCUGUCCACCGAUGCAUUACCCCCGCCACCCACAUACCCAGUCCGCUGCCCCACGGGAGCUUUGCGGGUCGAGGGGGGAAGGGCGUGGGGUUGGUGUAUUGUGGUUUCGGGGCGGGUGAGGAGCGGUCUGCCCCCGGGUCCUUGCGUGAGUCGUGGAGCGACCCUUGGGUCGGCCAGCUCCGCCGCUGCUGCCGCCAGCGCGUCCAGCAGCGUGAGGCGCUGGUGCAUGUCCAAGUGGGGCGAGUAAAUCUCGGGGAGAAGGGCAUCGCCCGCUGGGGGUUAGAGGGGGCCCGGCGGUUUUGGGGGGAGGGGAGAGAUAGGGGGGAAGUCAUACACGAGAAGAAAACAAUUUAGGUAGACGGUAGGCGGGGUCGGGCAUAAAAGCGAGAUAAAGGGUGUUGUAGGGACUUGUUAUUGAUCUGAGCAGCGCCAUGAGGGAAAUGCCGGCGGGGGAUGUACGCGAAUAACUUUACCGAAGCAAGCUCCCUAGUCACCAGCAGCGAAUUACACUAUUUCAGGAUUACAUAAUACAGUUAUCCUACAUAUAUAUAACUGAAAUAGGAUAUCUAUAUCUACAUACAUACUUCCGAGGUUACAUCCUAACCAAGGCUAGCGCACAGAGCAGGAGGGGUGAAUGCCUCCUCAAGCAGGCCCAAUGGCUACCCCCCAAUGGUCGGCCCCAACGCAGGGAAAGGAACCACCCCUCCGUGGUGCGGUAUUCACACAGCCCACCCCUUGGAGUAACCUACUCCACCCUGGCCCCAACGUCCCCCCCCUUCCUCCCCCCUCCCCACCUUUCAAGCACCCACCGCCUCCCAAUGGUGUCCCCAGUGUAGCUCCGAAACCACAGCUCCGGAACCACAGCCCAUCCCGUCCCAUCACAGCUGCAGCCUGAAUCCCCCCCCCAAGGGUCCUCCGCCCGACCGCCGUCAUUCGCACACCAGCAAGCCAAGCAGCCACCUAACCCCGCCAUUACACACUUUACUGCCGCCAUCCUCUUCCGUGCCGCACUUGCCAUCGCCGCACCCACCCGCACCUCGGCCGGCUGACUGGCGUCUCGGCCUCCGUACACUCACCACCUCACUUUACCGCCGCGUCACCCCUCUCCCCCCCAGGCCCCUUUCCCCCCUUCCCUGAACCCAGUCACUCGUCAUUCCCCCUCCUCCCCCUCCCCUUCAUCAUCGUCAUCAUCAUUCGCACACUCAUUGACCCACCGGCAAGCGGCACCAGGGCCAGCAGCGCCACCAAACUGCGCCGCCGCUGAGCCAGCGCCGACGACGAACCCGCCGCCGCCACCGCCGCCGCCGCCGCUCCGACGGCGGAGCGACCCGCGGGUCCCACUACCCCCGUCGGGCCCUGACGGGACCGGCCCACACCACCACGUCCUACCCCCAGAUUCGGCCCCUCUCCGGGCGCCGGACGCCCAGGUGACCCAUGGGUCACCUCCUCCUCAGACCCCCCGGCCGACUGCUCGUCCACAUCCGCCUCCAUUUCGGCCCACUCCGGUACUCGGCAGUGCAGCAGCGAGCGAAUGAGCUCCGGAGCCAUAAGGCCCAACUCGUCCGGGGCGGCCCGGAUGACCUCCUGCAUGCGGGGAGGAACGGGGGGGAGGGGAGGGAGUUCUACCCCAUGCGUGUGUUUGUGUUCGUGUGUGUGUUCGUGUGUGCUUGUGUUCGUGUGUGUUUGUGUUCGUGUGUGUGUAUAAGAAUUCGGACGUGCUGAAGACAUAUACAUAUGUGCUAUAUGCAAUACAUGUACACAGAAAACAAGCGUGGUAAUACGUAUAACUGAAGCAUCUCCGUACAGGCGCACUGCAUGCCGUACUAUGCCGUACGAUACCUCCAGUUGCUUGAGGGCCGCCAACACGGUUUUAACGUCGUCUUGUUUCCGAAGAGCCGCCGCCAGGGCACGCAGCUGCAGCGCGGCGGGCUCCGCUCGGUGCCAGGCCUCCGCCUCCGCAUCCCCCUCCAUCUCGUCCACCGUACCCAGCGGCCGUAACUCGUCGCCGUCGCUGCCGUCGCCACUGCCGUACUCUGCGUCUUCGCCUCCGUCGGUUUCUUCAUCGUCGCUGUCAGUUGCCGUACAAAUGCUAUCGCUGUCGACGUCGUCGUGGCCCUCCGGGGAAGGCUCAACGGACCCGCCGCCGCCGCCGCCGGCCGCCGUCGCGCUUGAAGCAGCGGCGGUGCAAAAAGGCUGCCGAGAAGUCUUCGUCGCCGCCGCCGUCGCCACAGACGCCGCCGCACCCUCCUCCUCCGCGCCCGUACACGCCAGCCCCGCGUCCCUCCCUGGAGACGGAGGUCCCCUCCACACCAGCUGCCGUCGCUGCGCACCUGGUGGUGGAGGCGGCGGAGGCCGUGUUGGGUUGGGUUAUGAGGGAGCAGGUGUGGACCCCUUCCCCCCCGGGGGCCGGGGGGAGGGGGGCGGGGCCGGGGGAAGGGGGAGGGGGAGGGGGAAGGCGGGAGGGGGGAGGGGGAGGGGGCAGGGGGAGGGGGAAGGGGGAGGGGGGAGUGGGAGGGGGGAGCGAAGUAGAGAACAGAUGUUAGAGAACCGCAACAGAUCUCUCCACCAUACCCACACCCAUAACCAACCCGACCCCAUCACACAAACCCGCUUUAACCAACUCGCCUUCCCAAUACACACACACGCACAUACACACGCACACACAUACACACACGCACAUACAUACACGCACAUACACAUAUACACACGCACAUACACACCCAUACACACGCACAUACAUACAUACAUGCACACGCACCUGGCCAAAGCUCCUCUGGUGCCAUCCCCAGAUCCCCCAUGUCGCCGAACAGCUCACUGGCGGGGUCCAGCACCAAGCUGAAUCCGCGGCCUACACGCAUCGCCUGCCGCUGUGUCGCCACCAGCGGGCUGCCUAGCCGCUGGCUCACACCCCCCAACAGCCCCGUCAGCAACCCAGGGGUGACCUCAACAGUCUCCCGGUCCAGCCGGGCUAAGACAAGCAGCAGCGCCUGGGUAAGAUAUGCCUGACGUUGUACGGAUGUACGAGUUACGGCGGCGGCGUCGCCCCAGGUCGAAGCCAGCGUGACGGCGGCGGCGGCGGGCUGGGUGGCGGGGUAGGCAGCGGCGAGCAGCGCCGUCAGGAGCCGGAGGCAGUCGAGAGGCAGCGGCGGCCGCUGCAGCGACAGCAGCAGCCGGUCGGUAAGGGUGUACGACACGGCGGGAUGUGACGUCAGGGCUGGCGGCAGGAGCCAUAGGAGGGCGGAGAGCGCGGCGGCGGCUGCGGCGGGGGGUAGCGGCGGCGGCGAGAGGCCUAGGAGUGCCUCACGCUGCUGUAGCUGCUGUAGCUCUUGUUGCAGCCGCUGCUGCUGCGGCGUCGGCGUCGGCGUCGGCCUCGGCGGCGAAAGCUGAUUGCCAGCUGUCGCGGCCAAUGCCGGCCGCGCCGCGCGAUCCAGCAGCGCCGCCAGCAGCCGUUCCAGUGCCGCCGAGCUUACGUCAGCUAGCUGCAACAAGGCUGCCGUACAGCCCUCCUGCAGCCGUCGGCUACUCCCAUCGUCAUCGCUGUCGUGCCCUUCAAUGACGUCGUACGCUGCCCGCAGGCUGGUCGUACACGACAGCAGUGCGUCCGCCGCCACCGCUGCGUAGCCCCGCUUGGCUAGGCGCUCCAAUACCUCCGCCAGCAAGUCCACUGCCGCCGCCGCCACCAGAGGCUCCAGUACGGCAACACCUGUGCCGCUCAGUCCGCCGCCGCCAUAGUCGCCGCCGACAGGCCCAGGCCCGUCGUCACAAGUGCCCUCUCCGUUUGCGGCUUUUGUGUACGACAAUCUGCAGCCACGUAGAGCGCCACCGUCGGCGACAUCCCAAGACGCCAGCGAUGCCGUACAUUUAUCCAGGCCACGCCUCAGCCGCGCCGUCGCUGCCGCCACGCUACGCCCCGGGUUCGCCAACGCCGCCAUCAGCUGCUGUAGCAGCCGCCAGUAAAACGCCUCAGGCUGUAGCCGCUGCAGCUCUGAAAGCUCCGGUGACGCCGCCGCUGCUGCCGCCAGCAGGCCUCCCGCGCGAUCCGGCACCGAAACCAGUAGCGCCGCAAGCGACGCCGCACUGUACAAUCCACCGUACAUGCCCGCUACGGUUCCCCGUAGCGACAGUGACGAGGACGGUGUUGCCUCGCUGCUGGGGGCAGCUGGCGGCAGGAGCAGCAGCAGCGGCAGCAGCAUCCCGAGGACGCCCUCACUAGCCGGUGACUGCUGCCCGCGGUCGUGUCCCGGCCCUUCAGUGCUGGGCAGCGGCGAUGGCGGCUGCUCCCGUACAGCAGUCCCCGUCGCCGCCGCCUCUGCCGCCAAUGCUGACAAUGACCCACGGGUCAGUGCCGAAUGCACCGCCAGGUGCAGCAGCAGCUCCGAAACCCCGCAGCACCCGGGCGCGGCGAAGCGCUGUGCGAGGCAGGCGGCCGCCACGUCCGCCCCGCGGGAGGUCACCAGGGCGCGGGACCCUCCCUCUCGUCCUCCCCCCCCUCUCCCCCCUGCUGCUGCUGCUGCGGCGGCGCCCCGACAUCUUCCCGCCCCCGUGUCGCCCUCCCGCACCCUUCCCUCGCCCCUCGCCCCCCUGGGCCCCUCCGUCCCGGAUGACGCCCCACCGGCUGCGGACGUGGCCCUCAGCCUCAGGGGUGUCACCAUGGAGAGGUGACUGGGGCCCGGGGGAGAGGGGGAGCGACAGGGGGAGAGGGGGGCCAGGUGAGCAAAACCAGGAUAAGGUCAAGUUAAAGAGAGCCGGGGAACCCGGGGGUUGCUUGGCACACGCGGUGAGCAGGCACCGUUGGGUACGGCAAAAAAACUGCUGGCGUAGACAGGGAGGAGGCAGAAUGCCGUACAGCGGGGCGUAGGCGCCAACAGUGGGGUUUUUAACCAAAUGGCAGGUGGGUGACACGGUGGGUUGUGUGUGUGUGUGAGGGGGGUUUGAGGUAGGGAGGCAGAGGACGGCAAGGAGGAAGGGGGGCGGAACUGAAGACGCCGGCCGCUAGCCAGGGGUCCUCGUACCAACGGACAGCAACGGAGAACCAACAAAGACCAACGGCAACCAACACAAACCGACUCAACGACUUUGGGCCAUCAACGUAUACACAACCUCCAACUACCUGACGAGGCUUUGCAGUAGCACUGGGGCGGGUGCAAGCUGUAGCAGGGCCGCCAGCAGUAGGGGCAACCGGGCCCCGGGACGCACAGCCACCGGCUGCUGCUGCUGCUGCUGCUGCUGCUGCUGCUGCUGCUGCUCCGGUUUUGUUGUUAUGGUAGCCGCCGCUUAGGGUCGUGGGAGCGGCGCGGGAGAUACAAGGGGAGUUCAACAUCAUGGAAGGGGGGGAACGGGGAUGGGGGAGGAGGAAAGGCCUGAGGUAAGCCGGGGAACAAGGUAACCAUCAGGGAGGUAGGGCUGAUGAAAAGAAUUGCUAACGGCUAACGGACAACCUUUAGACGUCCCAAAAUAUAUGACGAGGGUGGAGCUGCCUCUGCAGCAGCAGGCUGGCGGGCUGGACCCGGGAGGCCUGCCAAAAGGGGUUGGGGGGGGAAGGAGGAGGGAGGAGGGCGCUGUUGCAGUUUUGUCAACCAAAUUAUAGCAGUCAACCUGACGACGCCUGCGCAAACUAUUCUUUAUCCGCAGUCUUUGCCUUCAGACACCUGGGUUCCUAAGGGCUUUUCCAUCUCCCAGGAUUCUGCUCCGAAACCACAUCGUAAUACCCUUUCCCUGCGCCGCGCCAGCCCCCUUGGCCUCCUGUCGCCUACCGGGUAGGAGCAUCGCAGCCCACUGCUCGAAGUAAAGACAGAAGAACGCCGCGCGCACCGAGUCGGCAACGGUGGACGCGCCCAACCGCUGUCGGGCGGCAUCGAGCUCGUGCAGGUAAAGGAGCACCGACUGCCUUGCUGCCUCACAACCCUGAAAUGUUUGGCCUGAAGCGUAUUUCAGAGCGUCCGGUUCUCCAGCGACUAGAGCAGCGUGUAGGACGCGCGCCAAAGAGCCGACGACGUCCAAAUCGUCUGUGCUGUCGGCAAGUCUGCACGCCUCCUUUACGAGGCCACGGAUGGGGACCUCGAGUUCUAACAUCGAUGCCGUCAGUCACACUGAUAAUUGCGCAGACACGGAUGAUACGGUGAAAAAGGCUCCCGAACAACGCCGCUGAUGACAGUUGUCGGAAUAGAUAAUUAUUAAAGCACAACUGCACCCACUAAUCAUAAAAAUACACCACAGCGACUUUGCAUAUUUAAAAAGAUGUUUCUCGUUGAAACACUUGGCCGAUGUCCAAGAGGUCCCGGAGGUCGCAUCAACGUUUCUUAAUACAGACACAACUAAAGUUUUGGCAGCGUGAAACAAUCUUAUGAUAGGCCCUAGUCUGAUGUGUCCGAGACCUAAGCAACAACUGUAGCUCGUCCCGAACCUUAUGUAAUCAUCAACUGACAUUAUUAACUGAAAGAUGCAGACCUCUUAAUCAGAAGCUAAAAUGACCUGUAGAGCGUGAGAAUACAAUUGCUUAGUUCUAGAAGCUUGCAAUCCGCCUUCACCUCAUCACAUCUGUCUCUCUUCAAGCAGGAUGUUGAAGCCACAGCCGACCCGCGGAUGGCCCUGCUCACUGCUGUUCCGGCCUAGCAACAGGCACUCCUCCUCAUUCUAGGCGACCAUGAUACUUCAAAAUUUCUCACAUAUCCCUAUCACCAAGGCUUAGGUAUACGGUACAUGUGAAUUAUUCCAUAGGCCCUGUACGGGCCUUGUAGGCCCGUACGCCGCUGCCACUUCCCAACUGCCCCGGCUGAUCCAGACCUUGUGCAAUGACCUGUGCGAUCAUUCCUGCCCACCUGGACCAUUGGUUGACCAUUAUGAUGGCAGGUUGACAAUGCGUCUGCAGGGCUUGAAGGGAACGGCUAGGGACGGCGACAAUGGCUGAUGUGCAUCAGGUCUGUGCACCAACAUGCAGCUUUAUGCUAGCCUCUGCAUGCGGGUUUUGGAGGCCUGACCUGGAUUUUGGAAAGCCAGGCAGAAGGUAGAUUUCUUCAAUCACGACGAUCCUACACAUCACGACAUCCCUGCACGGAUCUAUACCCCUGGAAAGGCCCAGAUUUGGUCUCCGACAGUGUGCGGGUUAAAGUCAGUCGACCGUUAGAGGGUGGAUGUGAUGUGCUACCAUGCCGAUGGACGGUGAUCGACCCGGUUACUGUGAGAGGAACCUGCGACCCGACCGGGAGAGGAGAGGAGCUGUCGGCGCCGUUGAUUGGGGCUGGGGCCAGAUUCCACUGGAUGCAUGCUGGUGGCGUUGGUGGUGGGAGUGGUGAUGGUUGGUGGGAGUGUGUGUGUAUGUGUGUGUAUAUGUGUGUGUAUGUGUGUGUAUAUGUGUGUGUGUGUGUCAUCUGACAGACCUGCGCCUGUUCGUAGAGCCCACACACCCUAAGUGGCUGCUGGGGACCUCACUCUGCGGGGGUAAGUUAAUGAGCUGCUUCGGCACCCUGCAGCCCUUAAUCCCUAAUGCUCAAGGUCCUGGUCUCACUGUCGUAAAUGGCUGUACAUAUGUAUGUAUGUACGUAUACACUCGGCUGGUCUGCUUGAGAAAGGUGCACUGUAUUACUUCAUUACGUUUCGGCGCCAUUACGUGGAUAAGGUAAAAAGAUCUUCGGAGUCGCCGCGGUGAGUUGCCGGUAGUGGUGGUGGUAGUAUACAAGCAACUUCAUGCCGAAGCGAGCUCCGUUGUCGGCGACGACGUGUUGGACAGUUGGUCACCAUAUGUUGAACAGAAUAGUGAUGGUGUCCAGAGCCCCAGAGAAAUAAGCGAAGAGCUUCGAUGCUAUGAGUUAGGUCUAAAUAAGCCUGAUUGCGCCAAUCAGGGUGCGGGCAGUUGAUCCCAUACGAACGAAUUCGGCUUUACUAAAGCUAACCAGCAACGAGCUCGCGCAAUCGCGAACCAGUUGCAUCUAUUCGCUGCACCCAUGUUUGACCACUUUCUGGACAAGCGUGUGUUGUAUGAUGUUCAACUGCUGUUACAACUCACACUUCUGAUCUAAAAAUUCCUGACGAAAUUCAUCCGGAUUUUCAGAGAAGGAAAAAUCGCUGUUCUAGGUCCUGCAAGGACGGCUGGACAUUGAAGAUGGCGAAUAACUACGUCCAACUGACAAGCGCUACCUAUCCAUACCACCCACAGUUUGGCGGAGAGCAGGAAAGCUCCUUAAUGACAUGAUAUCUUCAAUUUGGCUGAAAUAGAGAUGCUACAGGUGCUACAGGUAGGUAUUAUGGAACCUAAAAACCGCUAGCAGUCGCUCACCGCAUAUUUCUGAAGUCAAAGAGCCCGCCACCGUAAGGGCCGGAUUAGUUGGGGCGAGCAUCCGUAUGAUACGAAGGGCUCACUUACAACCUUUGUAACGCUCUCCGCCUAAGCGAGCCCCACGCACCACGCACGAACGAAUUUAGGCCCUUUUCGGUGAUAUCCAAAUUUUUUGGAAGCGCGAUCGCGCCCCGUUUUAUUGUAAUAAUUUUCCGUGUUCCUGAAUCGAGUAAUCGUGUUAUCGCGAGUACCCGUUAGCAUUAUGUUUCCUCUCGUACCGUGGGGCCAAGACCCACUUACUUCGUCUACUCAUCGAUUCGUUACCGUUACGCCUGUGCGUGACGAUCUCAUCGUCCCGCCGUUACACCUGCCGCUGGUACGUUUUGUCUGUUUUCGAUGGACGUCCGUCAGCUUAGUGCGUCCUACGCCUCGGCUCUAUGAUCACCGCAGGUCUUUCCUGGUAAUCCUCUCCCUGCCAUGCCUCCGCUUGCUGCGGGCCCUAUCCGUCUCCCGAGGUCGGCGCCGCCGCCUUUAGACCCUGUCGCGGCUCUGUAUUACUCUGAGUUUACCGGGGACGUGUCGGUGCGGCCGCCGCUCACGGCCGCCUUGCUCUCGAUCUACCAGGUGCACCAACGUCAGUGGGUCUCGGAGAGCUGGCGGCGGGUUCAAAGUGCUGCGCGAGAAUUUCAUGGCUGGUUGCAGCGCCAGUCUCUCGGGCUCACCUUGCUCACCUGCGAUCCUAUGUCCAUUGUUUCGUAUCUGGUGGGAUGGUGGUUCCCCCGGCACCCUGGGCGUCUGCGGGCUGACCGGCGUCCCAGCGCCAGUGCUGUGAAAGGGGUUAUCUCGAGCCUUGCGACUGCUUUUAAGCAGCUGGGCCGGGAAGGGGACUAUGACGCCUCUCAAAGCCGCGGGAAUCCUUGCGACAGCUCCUUGGUGCGAGGCUAUGUCAAGGGCUACGGGCGGGACCUUAGUGACGCCGGUUAUGUGGAGCGAGGCGCCAUCCCUUUGACCGCGGAAAAGUUUCGUCGCCUGGCCUGCCAUCUGUGGACUGCGUCCGGCGACGAAGAGCAUUUGUUUGCUCGCAGUUUGGUGCUUCGGGACUUGUCUCUAUUUGCUUUAAUGUGGCAUACGUAUCAGCGCGGUCAUGAUGUCGGCAAGCUGGUGUUAAGUGAUUUCAGGGAUCCGGUGCAUGGCCGUACCGAGUACCAGGGCUGGCCGUUACCCCUACCCGCGCCUGACGGGAGUGUCUCUCCCGACACUGUACUCCGUAUCGAAGAAUUAAAUACCAAGACGUACAAGGGUCAGCGUGCUCCUGCGACGAUGUUGCGUCCGGAUCGUGAUCCUAUCGUCUGCGCGCUGCGGUUUCUUGCGGUGUACAUGAGCAUGUGUACGAGGGCCGGUACCCCUAUUACCCAAUACCUCUUCCGUCCGGCGGAGCGCAGUGGCCGCGCAUAUCGGGAGGCGCCGAUGACGACCGAGGCCCUGGAAUAUCGCCUCGUCGCUCAUCUUACCGCUGCUGGGCUAUACGGUGGAGAGACGGUGCACAGUUUUCGUCGGGGUGCUUUGCAGCAUGCCCAGUCUCAGGGGGUCUCCGAUGAGGAUCUCAUGCGCUCCGCGCACAUCCGCUCUCUGGGUACUCUGCACCGCUAUCUGGAUCCUACUAGGCACCUCGCCCGCCUCCCGGCCGGCGGGACGGGGACGGGGCUGGUGGUUUCGGAGAGUGAUGAUGAGUGAUAAGUCUGUGCAUGUUUGGUCCUGUCUCACGAGGGUGGGGAGGGAGGGCGACCUCGACUUUUUCUAGUCUUUCUCGUCGUCUAUUUUCUGUAAUCCGUCUUAAUAAAGCUUAGUUGGUACCUGUUGUCUGACUCUGCAUUCUGUGCUGGAAUGGCCAAAACUCGGACUGUCUCGUCCUGGUGUGAUAUCCGUGGUUGGCAUAGGGCCCUCCGUACUUCUGUAUUUGGCAUUUCUGAAGUCAAAGAGCCCGCCACCGUAAGGGCCGGAUUAGUUGGGGCGAGCAUCCGUAGNNNNNNNNNNNNNNNNNNNNNNNNNNNNNNNNNNNNNNNNNNNNNNNNNNUUGCACAAAUGCCUUAGCUGUUGGUACAGUAACAUCUAACUCUCGUACAGUAGGUGUUGCAGGAUGAUAACCGUAAUUUAGAAAGAAGGGUGUUUGACCAGUAGACCGGUUUACCGAAUUGUUAACAGCAAAUUCCGCCAAGGAUAAAACUUUAUCCCACGUGGAUGGAGAUCCAUCACAGUAACUUCGCAACAUGUCGGCCAGCACACGGUUCAUGCGCUCUGUUUGACCAUCGGUCUGUGGAUGGAAUGCUGUAGACAGAUCUGAACGAAGAUCGAUCAUACGAGCCAUAUGUUGCCAGAACAUUCCAGCAAACUGCGGUCCUCUAUCAGAGACUGUGGUUUUGGGCAAUCCAUGCAAUCGAACAACGUUUGCAAGGAACAACUCUGCAGUUUUCUCGGCUGUGACAUGCGUAUUGGUUGGUACAAAAUGAGCCAUCUUGGUGAGACGAUCCACCACAACAAAAAUGGCGUCAUGUUGUCGUUGCGUACGCGGCAAACCAACCACAAAAUCCAUUGAGACACUGUCCCACGGCAUGUCUGGUAUUGGCAACGGUUGCAACAAACCAUGUUGUCGCCCUGACAAGGUUUUGUUACGUUGACAUUUAUCACAACAACGUACGAAAGACUCGAUAUCUGCUGUUAUCCCAGGCCACCAAUGGUGUCGUUGUACUAACUCAAGGGUGCGAGCGACUCCUGGGUGUCCACCCAUGGGUCCUCCAUGACAGCGAGCUAUCAGUUCUUGUCGUAGUUGGGGCUCACAUGGAACGACAAUACUUCGACGUCCCGUAGGCAUCGCCUUGAGCCAGUAGCCUUGUUCAUUACGGAACAACGUAGCUACGUUUAGUGAUUGACCGAACCAAGGAUCCUUAGCAUACCCAGCCAGGAUACGUUCUCGAAGCGUACAUGCUUUCGUCCUUCGGGUUAUCGCAUUCAGUGAGGGAUGUCGACUGAGAGCAUCAGCUACAUUCAGUUUCCCAGCACGAUGUUCCCACAAUAAAUGAAAUCGACUAAGGAACUCAAGCCAACGUGCUUGCCUUCGAUUUAACGUGGGUUGCGUUUUGAGGUAAAUUAACGGGUGAUGAUCCGUUACCACGCGUACGUCAUGUGGUCCUUCGAGGUAGCAUCGCCACUCUCUUAGGGCAUGGAUUACACCAAGCAAUUCCUGCUCUCCCGUUGUAUAGUUCCGUUCGGCUGGCGUGAACUUUUUACUGGUGAACGCAAUAGGGGCUCCAUCUUGGAGAAGUACAGCACCUGUUCUCCUUAACGAUGCGUCCGAAAUUACCUCAAAAGAGAACGGUUUGGUCAAAUCAGGGUACCGAAGCAAGACAUCGUCUGCCAAGGCUUUCUUUACUACCUCAAAGGCUUCACGUGCCGAGGGAGUCCACUCGGGCAUUUCUGAAGUCAAAGAGCCCGCCACCGUAAGGGCCGGAUUAGUUGGGGCGAGCAUCCGUAUGAUACGAAGGGCUCACUUACAACCUUUGUAACGCUCUCCGCCUAAGCGAGCCCCACGCACCACGCACGAACGAAUUUAGGCCCUUUUCGGUGAUAUCCAAAUUUUUUGGAAGCGCGAUCGCGCUCCGUUUUAUUGUAAUAAUUUUCCGUGUUCCUGAAUCGAGUAAUCGUGUUAUCGCGAGUACCCGUUAGCAUUAUGUUUCCUCUCGUACCUGGCGGCUUACCGUGGGGCCAAGACCCACUUACUUCGUCUACUCAUCGAUUCGUUACCGUUACGCCUGUGCGUGACGAUCUCAUCGUCCCGCCGUUACACCUGCCGCUGGUACGUUUUGUCUGUUUUCGAUGGACGUCCGUCAGCUUAGUGCGUCCUACGCCUCGGCUCUAUGAUCACCGCAGGUCUUUCCUGGUAAUCCUCUCCCUGCCAUGCCUCCGCUUGCUGCGGGCCCUAUCCGUCUCCCGAGGUCGGCGCCACCGCCUUUAGACCCUGUCGCGGCUCUGUAUUACUCUGAGUUUACCGGGGACGUGUCGGUGCGGCCGCCGCUCACGGCCGCCUUGCUCUCGAUCUACCAGGUGCACCAACAUCAGUGGGUCUCGGAGAGCUGGCGGCGGGUUCAAAGUGCUGCGCGAGAAUUUCAUGGCUGGUUGCAGCGCCAGUCUCUCGGGCUCACCUUGCUCACCUGCGAUCCUAUGUCCAUUGUUUCGUAUCUGGUGGAAUGGUGGUUCCCCCGGCACCCUGGGCGUCUGCGGGCUGACCGGCGUCCCAGCGCCAGUGCUGUGAAAGGGGUUAUCUCGAGCCUUGCGACUGCUUUUAAGCAGCUGGGCCGGGAAGGGGACUAUGACGCCUCUCAAAGCCGCGGGAAUCCUUGCGACAGCUCCUUGGUGCGAGGCUAUGUCAAGGGCUACGGGCGGGACCUUAGUGACGCCGGUUAUGUGGAGCGAGGCGCCAUCCCUUUGACCGCGGAAAAGUUUCGUUGCCUGGCCUGCCAUCUGUGGACUGCGUCCGGCGACGAAGAGCAUUUGUUUGCUCGCAGUUUGGUGCUUCGGGACUUGUCUCUAUUUGCUUUAAUGUGGCAUACGUAUCAGCGCGGUCAUGAUGUCGGCAAGCUGGUGUUAAGUGAUUUCAGGGAUCCGGUGCAUGGCCGUACCGAGUACCAGGGCUGGCUGUUACCCCUACCCGCGCCUGACGGGAGUGUCUCUCCCGACACUGUACUCCGUAUCGAAGAAUUAAAUACCAAGACGUACAAGGGUCAGCGUGCUCCUGCGACGAUGUUGCAUCCGGAUCGUGAUCCUAUCGUCUGUGCGCUGCGGGUUCUUGCAGUGUACAUGAGCACGUGUACGAGGGCCGGUACCCCUAUUACCCAAUACCUCUUCCGUCCGGCGGAGCGCAGUGGCCGCGCAUAUCGGGAGGCGCCGAUGACGACCGAGGCCCUGGAAUAUCGCCUCGUCGCUCAUCUUACCGCUGCUGGGCUAUACGGUGGAGAGACGGUGCACAGUUUUCGUCGGGGUGCUUUGCAGCAUGCCCAGUCUCAGGGGGUCUCCGAUGAGGAUCUCAUGCGCUCCGCGCACAUCCGCUCUCUGGGUACUCUGCACCGCUAUCUGGAUCCUACUAGGCACCUCGCCCGCCUCCCGGCCGGCGGGACGGGGACGGGGCUGGUGGUUUCGGAGAGUGAUGAUGAGUGAUAAGUCUGUGCAUGUUUGGUCCUGUCUCACGAGGGUGGGGAGGGAGGGCGACCUCGACUUUUUCUAGUCUUUCUCGUCGUCUAUUUUCUGUAAUCCGUCUUAAUAAAGCUUAGUUGGUACCUGUUGUCUGACUCUGCAUUCUGUGCUGGAAUGGCCAAAACUCGGACUGUCUCGUCCUGGUGUGAUAUCCGUGGUUGGCAUAGGGCCCUCCGUACUUCUGUAUUUGGCAUUUCUGAAGUCAAAGAGCCCGCCACCGUAAGGGCCGGAUUAGUUGGGGCGAGCAUCCGUAUGAUACGAAGGGCUCACUUACAACCUUUGUAACGCUCUCCGCCUAAGCGAGCCCCACGCACCACGCACGGCGUCCCACCCUCCAUCCCCCUGCCAACCUAAAACACCCCGGCCACCCGCGCUCCGCGCGCCCCCCUCUCUGCCUUGCCUUACUCCUGCUCUCACUGUAAACUCUCCCCAUUUCGUAUCUCCAACUCUCUCACUCCCGUCUCCGCGUCCCCCCGACCACCCCCGGGUGGUGCACCCGGGCACCCAUUAUAAGUCACCUAAGUUGGCCCCGCAUCGCUCCUCUGACACGCGGUAGUCAUCAAUUGGGGAACUGUACACUUUCCCCCGAAAACUGGACUCACCCUGAUAGGUUCCCGCUGCUGUUCGAAAGGCUGCUGCCAGUUGUUCUGCUAUCUCUUCGAUAAGGGGUGUCAGUCUACGUCGUAGCCUCGCCUCCUGUGAUUCGUGUAUCCAUCGCAGAGAUCCUGCCCUACCCACCAGAAAAACUGUUCCAGCGCGUCCGUCAGACCGAUCACCAUAAGUUCUUUGCGCCGCCCCACAAAAGUUGACUGCCGUCCUCGGAGCCCAAAAUCCUCCGAUUCGUAAUGCCACUAUCGCUCCUGGGUCUGAGGCCGCGUUGGGCUCGAACAUGCCUCUGAGUGACAUGGCCUUGUCUCCGUGUUUUGCAGCCAACGUCUUUCCCCAAGGCUCGCCAAUCCACUUGUUGCCCGACCGGGCCCCUGGAUUCGGACCGGAUGUCCCUUUCCGCUUGUCUGCCAGCAGCGGAUGACCCUUCGGCUCUAGCCUGGCGUAUGUCCUCCGAUUCCGCCCUCCUGGCCCUGGUCGUCCGCCCGGGUUGCAUAUCUUCGUCACUGCCACUCGCCGAUUCCCUACUGCUCGGGGAAGCCGACUGCUCCGGUAGUUCUCGGCCAAUUUUUCUCUGCUCCUAUGGCCGUGCCUUGCGUUUUAACAGGGUAACCUUCACUGGCCCCGGCAGUCUAGCGGCCCUCCCUGGUACUCCCGUAGCCUGCGCCUGGGCAGGCCUUGACGUUUUGUAGCGCCCUUCUCCCCUCACGGCAUCCUUGCCUCUGGUUUCCUGAUGGGCCAACCAAUGACGUUUGUAUUGGCCUUCGCCCCUCCUCAUACAGAAAGAUGCUAAUGCAUUCUUCAGCCGCCUAGCUGAAAAACAUUCCCAGGCAAGGGCGUUUGAUACGAUUGUUUAUUUCUGGCUUUUCCACACCUUACUCGGGCAACUACCCUUAUGGUCUCCAUCAGUGGGUCGGCCCUUUAUGGGGUUUUAUGGGGAACAGUAACGGCCUUCUAAUAGCUGUGGCUCGUUCUGUACCCCGCUUCGUGUCUGGUACUCCUGGUCCCGUGUCUGAGACGUGUCUCUCCCUGUCUCCCUUCUACAAGUGCACCGCCUUCUGUGAUCGUUGUUGACAUACUCCUAAAUCGCCACGCCUGUAAUCCGGCAAGCCAUCACUGCGGGUUACUCAAGAAUGCUACCUCCUGAAGCCUCUUGUGAACCGAACUCAGUGGACCACCCCAGCGGUUUGCUACAAGCGCGAUGCCUUCUGUGGUCGCUGUCUACAAGUUCCCAUACCAAACCUUCAGUUUGGCGUGCCGCCACGGCAGGCUUCCUAAUCGCGUUGCCUUUCACUGCCGCUCGUCAUGCAUUCUGUGCCGCGCUUUGCGGGCCACCACAGCAGUUUUCUACAAGCGCACCGCCUUCCGCGGUCGCUGUCUAUAUCCUCCUAGGUCACAACGCCUCCCAUUCGGUGUGCCGCCGCGGUGGGCUUCUUAAUCGUGCUGUUUUCCGCAGUCGCUUGUCAGGCAUUUUAGUGCCGUAUUCUGAGGACUGCCGCAGCAGCUUUUCUACAAGCGGGCCGCCUUCCGUGGUCGCCGUCUACACAUUCUUAAAUCAUAAAGCCGUCAGUUCGGUGUGCCGCCUCGGCGGGCUUCCUAAGUGCGCUGCCUUCUACAGCCUCUUAUCAUGCAAUUGGUGCCGCACUAUCGGACCGCCGCAGCGGUGUUUCUACAAGUGGACCGCCCUCCGCUGUCACCUUCUAUAUGCUCCUAAAUCAACGCCUUCCGUUCGGCUUGCCGCCACUGCGGGCUCCCUAAGCGCACUGUCUUCCGCAGCCGCUUGUCAUGCAUUUGUGCCGCACUUGUUGUUGUUGUUACAUGUCCGUGGGUGCGUUCCCCGUACCUGCAAACCACCCUAGUACGAGCCGAGGGCUCAAGGGCUGACAAAUCGCCUAUAAGCACCAUCCUACCUCGCACUUCCAACGAGAUAAGUGAUGANNNNNNNNNNNNNNNNNNNNNNNNNNNNNNNNNNNNNNNNNNNNNNNNNNNNNNNNNNNNNNNNNNNNNNCUGCAUUUGAGCCGCACUUAGCGGACCGCCGCANGCGGUGUUUCUACAAGCGCACCGCCUCCCGCGGCCGCUGUCUAUAUGCUCCUAAAUCAACGCCUUCAGUUUCGGCGUGCCGCCACGGCGGGCUUCCUAAGCGCACUGCCUUCCGCAGCCGCGUGUCAUGCAUUUGAGCCGCACUUAGCGGACCGCCGCAGCGGUGUUUCUACAAGCGCACCGCCUCCCGCGGCCGCUGUCUAUAUGCUCCUAAAUCAACACCUUCAAUUCGGCAUGCCGCCGCGGCGGGCUUCCUAAGCGCACUGCCUUCCGCAGCCGCGUGUCAUGCAUUUGUGCCGCACUUAGCGGACCGCCGUGGCGGCUUUUCUACAAGCACACCGCCUUCCGCGGCCGCUGUCUAAAUGCUCCUAAAUCAACGCCUUCAGUUUCGGCGUGCCGCCACGGCGGGCUUCCUAAGCGCACUGCCUUCCGCAGCCGCGUGUCAUGCAUUUGAGCCGCACUUAGCGGACCGCCGCAGCGGUGUUUCUACAAGCGCACCGCCUCCCGCGGCCGCUGUCUAUAUGCUCCUAAAUCAACACCUUCAAUUCGGCAUGCCGCCGCGGCGGGCUUCCUAAGCGCACUGCCUUCCGCAGCCGCGUGUCAUGCAUUUGAGCCGCACUUAGCGGACCGCCGCAGCGGUGUUUCUACAAGCGCACCGCCUCCCGCGGCCGCUGUCUAUAUGCUCCUAAAUCAACGCCUUCAGUUUCGGCGUGCCGCCACGGCGGGCUUCCUAAGCGCACUGCCUUCCGCAGCCGCGUGUCAUGCAUUUGAGCCGCACUUAGCGGACCGCCGCAGCGGUGUUUCUACAAGCGCACCGCCUCCCGCGGCCGCUGUCUAUAUGCUCCUAAAUCAACACCUUCAAUUCGGCAUGCCGCCGCGGCGGGCUUCCUAAGCGCACUGCCUUCCGCAGCCGCGUGUCAUGCAUUUGUGCCGCACUUAGCGGACCGCCGUGGCGGCUUUUCUACAAGCACACCGCCUUCCGCGGCCGCUGUCUAAAUGCUCCUAAAUCAACGCCUUCAGUUUCGGCGUGCCGCCACGGCGGGCUUCCUAAGCGCACUGCCUUCCGCAGCCGCGUGUCAUGCAUUUGAGCCGCACUUAGCGGACCGCCGCAGCGGUGUUUCUACAAGCGCACCGCCUCCCGCGGCCGCUGUCUAUAUGCUCCUAAAUCAACACCUUCAAUUCGGCAUGCCGCCGCGGCGGNNNNNNNNNNNNNNNNNNNNNNNNNNNNNNNNNNNNNNNNNNNNNNNNNNNNNNNNNNNNNNNNNNNNNNNNNNNNNNNNNNNNNNNNNNNNNNNNNNNNNNNNNNNNNNNNNNNNNNNNNNNNNNNNNNNNNNNNNNNNNNNNNNNNNNNNNNNNNNNNNNNNNNNNNNNNNNNNNNNNNNNNNNNNNNNNNNNNNNNNNNNNNNNNNNNNNNNNNNNNNNNNNNNNNNNNNNNNNNNNNNNNNNNNNNNNNNNNNNNNNNNNNNNNNNNNNNNNNNNNNNNNNNNNNNNNNNNNNNNNNNNNNNNNNNNNNNNNNNNNNNNNNNNNNNNNNNNNNNNNNNNNNNNNNNNNNNNNNNNNNNNNAUCCUGUAUGCCUGUCUUGCUCAUUGUUCUUUACGCCUUCGCACGUAGGGUAGCUGUUAUGUUGGUAAGUAUCCUGCACCGGGCUAUCUGGCGACUCGCGAGGAUACCAGGGUAAAUCAGGCGAACUCAAGACAAAGGGCGCCGAUCAAGCCCCUCGCAACCUCUUGCCAACCAAGAGCUACUCCCGGCAAAACGGACUCCCAGCUAAAGCCUCGCCAACUGCGGGAGGCCGAGAUAAAACCACCUUUCCUACUGACCUACGGACCUCGCGAACCCAACUAGAAUUCCCCCGCCCACCGACAAGCAACAGAACCCACUAUUCAGGUGCCUCUACUCACGGCCGAACCAACCCAACCACCCGCGCAGUGCCCGCGCGCUUCACUUACUUGCAUGGAUGCCGUUGGCCCGCAAUGUCGAUCUGCGCGUCGCCGUUGUUGUUGUCUUCUCAUAUAUAAGAGACGGCGUUCUAUUGUAGGCAAAACCAAAGAUAAAGGCAAUCUAACAUCACUCGUCAAGCGAUUUCGACCUCGACUUUUUCUAGUCUUUCUCGUCGUCUAUUUUCUGUAAUCCGUCUUAAUAAAGCUUAGUUGGUACCUGUUGUCUGACUCUGCAUUCUGUGCUGGAAUGGCCAAAACUCGGACUGUCUCGUCCUGGUGUGAUAUCCGUGGUUGGCAUAGGGCCCUCCGUACUUCUGUAUUUGGCAAUACUCGAGGCCAUGAGUUUCGACCUGUUGGCCUCGCCCCAACCGACACCAAAUUCCUACCAUGCAUACCUUACCUAGUUACCACCUUUCGAUUGUGCGCAAAUUGUAAUUAUACUUGGCAGAAUUCCUACAGAGCAAAUUUUAAAUGCUUGCUUGCAGAUUUGCUAGUUUCCUUCAGAGCCCACAAGGAUUUUUGACACAAUUUUUAUAAAUGGCCGCCCGCGCAAUAGCAAUCAUAGCUUUGACGGCCCUGCUCUGCUCCGCUAGCCUUCCGAAAGGAAAUGCAGUCAUCAACAGCGUCAUCAGCCAGUGGCUUACAAUUGCCCAAAAUACUGUGUUGUCGCUGGGAAUCGAACACCAGCAGGCAGCUCGCGUCUACGGUAUCGUGGCCUCGGGUGAGCGGCAAAAAGCAAACGGCUUAUCAUAAUAGCUAUUACAGGACGCAUCCUAACGCCUAAGCCGCUUCACGAUAUAGUUUUAUCGGCGAAUAACAGAAGAACUUAUGUGGCUUUGCAUGCAGCACAAUAUGACGUCAUCCUCUUGGCCCGCGCCUACACGUCUGCCGUGAUUCCCGACGAAGUCGCCGCGGCAUAUGCCAGCCACGCAGCGCUCAGCCACCUUUUCUUUUGGCGCCAGAACUCCAUCUACGACCCGGCCCUUGCGGAAAACUUGGCGAGGUACAAUGUGAGCGACUCGCUCCUUCCGGUUCUGCAGAGCCUGGCCGUUCCCACCGUACAGAGGAUCCUGGUCGACAGGUACGACGGGUGGUUUGACUAACCUCUGUGCAAAACCCUGUGAGUGCGUGUGUAAGGACGCCAAUCGCCUACAUGAACCAUUCAUUACAACGCCAGGAUCUCUUGCUCAUGCAUGACUGAUGUUACAGCGGUAGAUGCGUCGUGAAACAGGCAAUCUGUGCGCGUACUCUAAUUGCGCCAAAACGUGUUUGUCGUACCUCCGUCUGUCGUACCUCCCACUGAUCCCUCUGACCCGCCUAUCACCACACAGGAUCAGAGACGGCAUCAGCUACUUUGCAAACUUCAAGCCCUUCAGCAACAGCAGCGAGAACAUCGGGCGCUACCAGUUCACUCCCGGACAGGUAGUAUGACAGCAACAAAGUACGGCACAUGUACAAUGAGCCUAGGGUCUCUGCUGCCUCACUGUAGUAGCUGGUACAUAGUACGACACAUCUGAUGACGUGUUCAGAUGCGCGCUAAGGCGCUCCACCAGCAUCUUAAGAGGGGCCUUUUCAGCGGCGGCCUGCAGCUACACUCAACCUGGGGCAAACUUCACAGUCAGAUCUCCCAUCGCCAUAGCAUGAGCUUCCCCAGGAGGUCCCUAUAACCAUCGCCUCAUACAGGUGCCCGCCGCCACACACCACAUGCACAUAAAAACACACACACGCGCGCUUGCUUUCUUCCUUCUUCCUCACGCCUUCCCCCCCUAAUUGCCCUUGGAUCUUGUACUGCCCUUAGACCUCUGCACGCUAUCCCCAAGUCGCUCGUGCCAAGCCCUUCUACUUGAGCUCGUACGAUGUGGACGUGAUCACCAAGAACCUGACUCGCUUCUCACUGAACGAUACCGAAUACGGGCGGGAGCUUUGGCAGGUGCGGGCGUGUGCGUGUGUGCGUCGGUGAGUCAGUCUGUCAGUGUGCUGGGUUAUGUUGUUGAAGGGAAACUAUGCUCUUGGUACAAAAGAAGGACAAGCUGCCGAUCAAAACUGAGGAGUUUUGAUCGUGAUUUAAAGUUCUGGUAUUCCAAGUGUUUGUAAUAAUAUCCUCUAUCUCGGAAAACGGAUAUUUAAGCUCAUGCAAGUCAUUUUAAUGAAACCAGUUAGAAAACUAGGAAAAGUUGGUGAAGUAGUUAAUGUAAAAAACGGUUAUACCGUGAGCCAGGGGAAGUUAAGUAGGCGGGAAUGGGUGCAUACAAUGGCCCUGUGUGUGUAUGUGCGUGCCAUAAUGAAUAUCGCAUACUUAAGAUGCAUGCACACACGCAUGUAUGCAUCUUGCGACUAAGAGCGUGGGAGGCGGUACUCGUUCCCACACACUUAAACCCUUUAUAAGCAGCUCAACCACCAACCUGACUUCUAUCGAUGCAUGCGAUUCACAUAUUUAUGUUGUACGUGCUUGUUCCUCCGUAAUACAACUCCUGGCCCUGGAAUAAAGGUGUAUCUGUACGGCUCAGUUAACUCCACCGUCCGUACGGCGUACGACACCGGCUCUGUGCGCUUCUGGGCUCUUGGAACUGGUGCGGAGGAGCCUAGAGGGCUAGGGUAGUGCAAUCCUUUGUGGCGGCCUUGUAUGUAUGCAUGUAUGUACUUAUGCACGUAACAUGUAUGUAUAUCGCAAUAAAUCAACGGUCAUUGUACGCUAUAAAUCGGAACGAACUUGUGCUUGAAACCACGCCAUCCGUAGGUCAGGGGCCCCAAAACGACGACUUACACUUUGGCAGGCUAAUUAGCACCAACCCCGCCCGGCCCCGGUGAGGGCCGUUCGACACGUGGAAAAGGCUUUCUCCGAGUACCUAGGCUAAUAAGCCUGCGAACCCCAUACGACAGGGAUGGACCAUCUCCUACCAGCAGACGCAGGCCCGCACAGUCCGCUAACCACACACGCAUUCCUCCAUUUGGGAGUGGGCAAAACCCAUGAGCUCAAACUUGACAAGGUUAUCGGGCCUAAGCGCAAAAACGCAACUGAAAUCCCCAACAACAGCAUCGAGUGGCAGGGCCUGCAUGUGUUUCGAGGAUGUAGCCAGCUGAGGCUAAGGUCAUCAGCAUAAAGUACUUAGGGUUAAUACCGCUCUGCCGACGAUGUGGGAGGGCCCGUCACAUCAUCAAAACCCAACUGCCCGCUUCGCGCGUCCUCCCCGUCGACCAUGUCCGCGAGUGCUUCGAAUAAACAGCGAACGAACGAACAUCUCAUCAGUGCCAAGGGGGCGUCUGCGCUCAACACCUUGUUUGGACACAAAAGGCUUUCCGGUCUCCCCAUUAACCUUCUUCACUUCCUUGAUCACCACCUUUUCAUACAGUUUCAUACAUUUUCAUGCAAUGUAAUGUAAUGUAAUGUUACAGAGUGGGAGGCUUCUGGGCCGCUUUAUUUUCAUGCAUUUUAAGGAAGGCAUCCAAGAGCGGCAGGCACGAAACCCUCUCUCGUCUAACUUCAGCCAAAGCAGCCGCCCUCGCGGCAACAAAUCAUCGGAGGCAUUCUCAAAGGUCCAUCUGGACAACAAUAUAAGUCCCACGUUGGCAAAGAAAGCACCGGUGAGAGAUGCCCCUUGACGAAGAGACGGUGCACGAUGGCGCCGAAGCUCUAAAACCUGAAACCAGCCUGCAGCCGAUACCCGAGCUUAAGGUCCCGUCCUUAUGUAUGGUAUAUGCAGGUACAGGCACCAUCGCGGGGGUGUGGUUGAACAUCUCCAUCUCCGUAAUCCCGGCGGAGACACCCCUGGUGCAGCAGGCCCGCUUUUUCAAGAUCCUCACCACCAGCUUCUGGGAUGCAGCCGUAGCGUGGUAAGCAUCUGGUUUGGCGGCUGAGUGGCGGCUGUGGUGACUGACGCAGCAGCUUUCCCUCGCUGUUUUCCAUAUAAUAUACGUUAUCAGAAUGACCUUGUGCAUGACUGCAGCUGCGGGGUCCCGGAUUUAAAACCCUAAAACCCUGAGAGAGAAAACCUAAAACCCUAAACGGUUUACAGAUCGUGCCAUGGUAGAAUAGAUAGACCUGAAAGAGAUGGCCAAUAGACGCUCCUCCAUUUUACACACAAAGAUUGCCGCAUACCCUGCCCCCCUAGCUGGCGCACCAAGUAUCGGGAGCUCUUCUGGCGACCCAUUACCGCCAUCAGGUGGGUUGGUCAGUUAGCUACCGGUUGGGCGGUUGACUAUCAGUUAGGCAGUUGGCUGGUAGUGACGGGGCCCAUAAUCAGCGGGUUUACACAGUACCACCUUUCCCUGGCCUGUUUAGCUCCAUCUCACCUCUCCCUGGCCCCCUGGCCACCUGUUUCCCCUGCCUUUGUUAAAUGAUGGAAUUGAACUCUGUGUGCGCAGGACGCCCCACUUGCGGUCCUUCGCCGCCGACCCCUCCUGGACUCCCCUGUUGAGCACUCCCGCCCACCCCGAGUAUCCAUCCGGUCACCAGUGCUCUUCGGGCGCCGCGGUGUACUUGCUGGAGGCCUUUUUGGGCCGCUCGACGCCCUUCAGAGCGUCUUCGGAGGGCGCCCCCGAGGUUGGGAUUCGCAGCUACCCCAACUUCCGCGCCGCAGGCCUGGAGAGCGGAGACAGCCGUCUAUAUGCGGGAGUGCACUUCAACAAGUCCAAUAUUGAUGGCAUGAAUUUAGGAUACCGUGUCGCGCAGUUCAUUCAUACCAGGAAGUUUAAUUCCGUGACCUUUAGUUCGAGUAUCUGAUUGGAGCUCGUGAAGCUUUUGCCGUGAUAUGGAUAAUAAAUACAGCAUUUGACAUCUUCCAGAUCCUCGGAGUGCGUUGCGACGGUCCCGCGACUGUCACAACGUAGAUUCCGAAAAGGGCGGGCUCCCAAACGGGUCCGGGUUCCAACACGAAUUUUACAUCUACGCCCCAUUUCAGCAUGCCUAGCUAGUAUUGUGGUGCAUUUUUUUAUUUCAGCCUGUGAACAGUUUGCACUUCGCAAUAGUGCGUCUGGAACUUCGGUGAACCCAAUCAUGGAACGGCGCUGGGCAGCAGCGAUGGCAGUCGACAGCUUUCAUCGCAGUCAAGAGUUUUUUGCAUUCAUUUGCCUAUAACGUCCGGUCCGAUGUAUAUUUUUUGCAUUUGUCGGGUGAUAACUUGAUGUCUCGCUAUAAACUAACCCUUACAAGGGCGCGUUUGUUAGUUUGGUUCAACCAGCAGAGGCAGUUUUUGUAUCAAGAGCAUGCGCCGUUACGCUGCCUCGCUUUCCUAUCCGCCUUGGAUCCGCCUCGGUGUUUGUUGCACUUAAUCCGUUUCGCUUUGUCGUACUUCCAUCGGUGAGCGGUCGUUAAGAUGGCUCACAACCCAUCUAUUGGGGUCUUUCGAUCACACCACAUUUGUGGAGGAGCUAAAUAGGAAGGAGCAUUACAGUUUUGGUUCCACCAGCGGCAGCUUCUAACGAGCACGCAGGCUCUCCUCCCUUAUUCGCUUUCCCUCCUGUGUUGUCGAUUUCCUACAAUCAACACGUUGCAAGGCUGUUGAAUCCCCCGAUACUUUGUAUGAACUGAAACGAGCUAGAGGCAGGAGACCAAACGUUAGAGCAAUUAGCUGAGACAAACCCGACCAGACACAGGAUUUCCCGGUUGGCGGACCAGUUCUUGUUAUUACCCAUUCACACAACAGCACUGCCGUACCAUACCAGCGCACCCAUGUACGGCCAUAUAUCCAUACAUUCAGAAAUUUCGACCUCUCACUCACACCACCACGUGGGCACAUUAAUUGCAUUCGAUGAAAUCAUGCCGCCGCCGCUUCACGCCCCAACUUCCCCACCUGCUACAUAUCGGCGGGGGGGGGAGGGGUUGCCGGGUGUAGCAAUGCGGAUGUCCCCAGAAUGAAAUAACUCCAAAGCCCCCUUUUUUCUCUUUCCCCCCAACAGCUUAAUGGAAAUAUCAUCUUGCCCCCUUCCUUCUUUGAACCUAACCACCGGGUCAUGGGUGAUAAAAGCAGUAGUAGUAAGUUUGCGGAUACCACAGCCUGUUUAGGCACACGCUGCUGGGGUGAGAUAGUGAAAAGCGUCCCAAAGCUAUAGCUAGUCUAGGCAACCUGCUGCUCACCAGCGGGCAGCUGCACCACCACCACUGUCACGUUGUCCGUUGUGGGUGCGGUGGACGAGUCGUGACGGAGUGCCUCGUGGAGUAGCGCGGAUACCGCUGAGCGGAGGGAGCCCUUCGUCGCCCCGCCCGGGACCCCCCCUGUCACGCCCACGCCCUGCCCCUGGCGCGGCCCCGGCUCCCCAGAUUUCUGUCCAUGUAAACAGCCCAACUGGAGCUCUAGGAAGUCCAUGACCUGAUGCCGGAGAUUGGGGGAGGGGGAGGACUUUUUAUAUUAUAUAAAGGGGGAGGAGGGAGAAAUAUGUGGUGUUGCAAAAUGCAUAAUCAAAUUAAAAAAAUAAAAAUUUAUAUUAAUAGUGCAAAAUGCAGAGUAAAAAUAAAAAUUAAAAACACGACAAUUAACUUUGACAUUCCAAACUACCUAAACCACCCAAACCUCAACCGCUUCCCUCCCCCUCAUACACACCAUUUGGGGGUGCAUGACGUCCCACAGGCCGUCGCAUGCGACCACCAGCAGCCGCGGGUGCGGGUGCGGGUGCGGGUGUGGGUGUGGGUGGGGCAGCGGACGGCCAUCGUCCCCCUCCGCGGCCUCGGAGGGCCCCGCGGGGGACGUCUCCGAAGUCUCGGCUCCUGCUGAAGUCAUCAACCUGACUUCCCGGUCAGAAGAGGUGCCGCUAGCAGUGGCGGUAGCGGCGGUGCCAGCGGGUGUUGGUGGGGUGGCCAGGAGGGGCACUGAGGUGGUGUCCGGUGCAGCGGUUACGGCUUGUUGGUCGGGGGGUAGAGCGGGGUCCUUGUACUGCGGUAGUGGAGGUGUUGGGGAAGGGGGGAGGGGGGAGGAGGAGGAGGGGGAGGAGGUUGUCUGAUCUCCCGCUUUCUGCCUGCCCUGUCAUUUCUAGACAUCGCGGCGGCGCAAGGAAGGGGAGCGGUGAGGCGGCUGACCCAGUGUGGGUCCGUGUCCAGGAUAGCCGCAGCGGCAGCAGCAGUAGCAGCAUAGACCGUUAUCUCCCAUGCCGCGUCAUGUCAUGUGUGUGGUGUGUUUCUCGGCCGUCACCUUCACCUCCCAUGCUCGCCGGGCGUCCUCCAACACACAGUCGCUGGCCAGUGUCAGGCCCGGUCAAAUACUUGUAACGUUCUCUCUCUCUCUCUCUCUCUCUCUCUCUCUCACACACACACACACACACAUACACACACAUACACACACAUACACACACAUACACACACAUACACACACAUACACACAUACACACACAUACACACACAUACACACACAUACACACACAUACACACACAUACACACACCGUCCCAGCCCCUCUCACCCGCACAUCCCCUAGGGCUCGGCUCAUGGCCAAACUGCCGCCAACGCGGGGAAUGUGACCAGGGCGCUUCAGGACGAAUUGGCCUGCGGUUGGGCGGUUGGAAGGUGGUUAGUUGGUUGAGCAGCAAAAUGGAGUUCAGACAACCGGGCGCCAGCACGGCCGUUGGCGGGUAGCGGACGUUGCAGACACGAAUGCACACACACACACACACGCACACCACGUGCAGUACAUCGCCUCGAGAGCGUCACCGUACUCGGUUUCACACCCGCCACACUCACUCAACACACACAUACACACAUACACGCAAGCACACAUAUUUACGCACACAAACACAAAUACGCGCGCAGCUGCUCCCCUGUGCACCUCGGCGGGCCCCCCCCCCACGUUUGCGGCUCGGUCCUUCAAAAAGCACUGAGGGGUUCAUGAACGAGGGGUCUUAAGACCCCCCGCGGUGCCCCUCUGACGCCCAGGACAGGCGGGCCCCCCCCCUCUUCACAUAUCCACCACCACCCCGCCACCACCACCACCACCACCACUACCGCCACCACCACCACCCCCAACACCACCACGUUCCAGCACCUGCCUGCGCGACAGAUCCGUUCUUGUUCUUGGGGCAGGUCGGGUUUGUGGUCCGCAGUCAAUGUCCUGGCCACACCGUCCUCAGAGAGCACAACACUGGAGCGGAGGGGAGGGGAGGGGAAAGACGAACCACGAACGAGUGAAGCUGCUGCCAAGGAAAGAGUGUACCAGACGUAGAACUGAUCAAAAGGCGUUCUUGAAGGCGGCGACCUCGGGAUGACGUAGUGAAGAAGAUGUCGGACAACUACCUACCCACCUAGCCGCCAAGACUGAAAAAGCGCGGAAGAAAAGCAGUAAUGCCAACCGUAAAGAAGUAAAGGUAGGUGUAGAAGCGGCGGAAAAGUAGUAAAACAACUGCUGACGUGAAGCUGGAAUAAAGUUUUAAGUAGGAGGGGGGGGGGAGGGGAGGGGAGGGGAGGGGAGGGGAGGAAAUGGCGGCGGGGGCGACGGUGCGGGGGGGACGGCCCAGGAGGACUGCAGGAGGUGCGUUUUAUACAUCCGAUUACCGAUAGGAUACAGAUUACAUGAGAAAAAAGAGAAGAAAAAGAAGAUGAGGUUGAGAGAUUUAAUAAAGUCCAGUAUACGACAAAACAAUGCCAUGCGUGCAGUACGCCGUGUGGCGUGCAUACAUUUGUAACAACUUACAUACAUAUAUAAUAAUAUUACAAUACAUUACAAAUGUAUGCACGCCACGUAUGCAUAUACAUGUAUGUAUACAUGUAUGUAUGUACAGCCGGGAACGGGUUAGAAAGUUGGAUGAUUGACGACACGCACGUGCAGUACAGCGUAUUACGGAGCACCGACGAGUGUUGUGCUGUUGCUGUGGAGUGGAAAGAUAGGGGCGCCGCCCCUCUCAUCUCCCACCUGCUAAAGCGCGCAACGCAAUACACAUACACAUACACAUACACAUACACAUACACAUACACAUACACAUACACAUACACAUACACACUCACACACGGCCCCCCCCUCUCCCGCCUUCGUACCGGCUGUCCCCCGCAUGCGCCACAGCCAGCUGGGACCCCCGGAUAACCGCCACAGCCGCCGUGGAACCCGCCUUGGGGCCCUGGUAGAGACCUUGCUCGUCCACUAUGCCGUACUUCUUCGUACUGCAGGUGCAUACCGCAUACCGCGGCCAACAAAAUGUUACACAAAAUGUUUAAAGACAGCGUUUCAGCGGCCAAGGCCACGGGGCCGCCAUAUCGAUUCCUACUGGGGGCAAUUAUAUCAUAAUACAAAAGGCAGGGAGUUCACUGCCGAUGUUACCUAUCGGAAAGGGACGCACGCGGGGAGGUUAGGGGAGUGUGAUGCGCUCACAUACACAUACACAUACACAUACACAUACACAUACACAUACACAUACACAUACACAUACACAUACACAUACACAUACACAUACACAUACACAUACACAUACACAUACACAUACACAUACACAUACACAUACACAUACACAUACACAUACACAUACACAUACACAUACACAUACACAUACACAUACACAUACACAUACACAUACACAUACACAUACACAUACACAUACACAUACACAUACACAUACACAUACACAUAUACACAUAUACACAUAUACACAUACACACAUACACAUACACAUACACAUACACAUACACAUACACAUACACAUACACAUACACAUACACAUACACAUACACAUACACAUACACAUACACAUACACAUACACAUACACAUACACAUACACAUACACAUACACAUACACAUACACAUACACAUACACAUACACAUACACAUACACAUACACAUACACAUACACAUACACAUACACAUACACAUACACAUACACAUACACACGCACACACUUACUGCACGUUCCCCUCCGCAUACUCCGCGAGCUCCCCCCGGCAGUCCGCCGCCCGCAUCCGGCCGUCCAGGGCCAGGAACGCCGCCUCCAGAGCCCCCUCCAGAUCCCCCCGGGAGAAGGCGGGGGAGCGAACCACUUCCUCAACCUCGGGAUUCACAUGUGUGUAUGCACGGCAAUGUACGACAAGACAUGGCGAGUCAGUGGGGCGGCGGAUGUGAACAAGAAAAAAACCAGUGCAGCGAUGAAGCGCGCGGGGGGAGGAAGAUGAGUGAGGGGUGUGUGUGGCUCGGAUGUGGUUUCGGAGGGAGCCCGAGGAGACCGCUAGGUGUGUGAGACGUGGUUUCGGAGGGAGCCGAGGAGACCGCUAGGUGUGUGAGACGUGGUUUCGGAGGGAGCCGAGGAGACCGCUAGGUGUGUGAGACGUGGUUUCGGAGGGAGCCGAGGAGACCGCUAGGUGUGAGACGUGGUUUCGGAGGGAGCCCGAGGAGACCGGGACGUCGGAAGCAUAGCAGCAAAUGAGCAGCAGCAGCGGAUGGGUAGAGACGGAAGCUAAGAUAGCGGCAGCCACAGCCAGGGGGGAAUGUGUUUUUAUGUUUGUUUGUGUCGUGCGGGCCCCCGAUUGUUUGAAUCCCGAUGUCGUGGAUUGCAUUAUACUGGUGUGCCGUACUGCCGCUCCACCUUACGACCACGGAUGUAACCCACCUCGGCGUCCCCUGUCUGUGCCGUACUUACAAUGUGCUGCGCGCAGAAGGACGCCACCUCGCGGCCGCCGUGGCCGUCAAAUACGGCAAAGAGUGCCGUACCGUUGCCGUCAAUAUCUAAAUUGACCACGUGCGCAUCCUCCUGCAACGACGGGAAGAUCCAGACUGCUCAAACUCAAAGUGAGUACGGCCGUGUGAGUACGGCCGUGUCUCCCCUUGUGUUUUGGAAAGCCACAGUGGGGGAUAACUCCCCCACAGGGAACAGAUCUUCCCCGAAAGGCAGCUCUGUACUGGCGCCGGAACCGGCAGGACGUUGUCCAAAACCCGGCCCUCCCUCCCCUCCCCCCCCGGGUGCCGCUGUCACAGCACGGGCCCCCCCCCGCCCCCCCCGCCCCCCGGGCAAGGGUUUUCUCCCCCCCCGCACCAUGCUCCUCCUACGGCCCUGUGUCUCCCCCACCACCCAGUGAAAGCCGCCGCCACCACGGCCCUCGGACAGCACCUGCGGACAUACAUGUAUGUCAGUAUGUAUGUAUGUCGGUAUGUAUGAUAUGUGGGACAGGGGGGUCGUAUCUUCACCCUGCGGCCGCUACCUGGCACCCUCAUCCAGUCACCCUAGUCAGCUUCUCAGUGGAUCGCUCAGGUUCCGCACCCACCAUCAGCAUCCAAUGGAAUCUGUGGGGUCGACAGCGGCCCAACUCCAUUCCUGGUCUGCUCGCAAGUUAACUUUAUCCCAGGUCACCACCAUCCAUCAGGCACUUUACCUUCCAUCAUUGGAAGGAUUUUCGCCCCUGACAGGUCUCGAUCUCGGGAUCUCCCGGGGGCAGUAGCCGCGCGGCACCAGUAGUGCUUAACCUAUGUCAGUAUGUAUGUGUUCGUGUGUAGGUGUGUAUGUCCACAUCACGCUCUCAAUGGCUGCAGGCGAGUUCAUACCGUUCCUGACCACCCUCGAGGGCAUGGAGGAACUAAUUUGCCAUGGCCCCGAAACCAUCAACAUUUAAUGAUGUGUAUAAUGCUAAAUCGUCAACGAGGCUAUUGAGGCAAUGCUUGGCCGCGUAGUAAGGCCCUCUUACGAUGUUGCGCGAGUGGCGCUCGAGUGGGAGGUCUUACCACUGGGUCCAGCAGUUCAGGCGGUCGACUGCCACAACUACUGCUGCUGCUGCUGCUGCUGCUACUGCUGCCCACUCUCAACAGCCAGCCUCCAGCGAACCGACCCGCGGGUCAUAGUGAGGGCCAGUCCAACAGCCGCACAACCCGCCCGCACCGUCACCUUACCUACAUUAACAUAACCACUUAAUAACCCAACCGCCUAACAGCGCCCAACAACCCAACCGACAACCGCCCAACUAACACAACCGAAUAACAUACCAACCACCACAACGCAACCGUCCAACCACCCAACCACCUACCACUGGAAACUCCGUCAGACCGCCCUGGUUGUUCAGCGACACAACGGUGGCCUGCUUGCGUGCAGCCAGGCUGUCAUCCAGGUUGCUGGAGGGGGGCAGCUGUACGGCAAGAUCCAGAUCCUGUGAGGCGCUGAGAGAACUGGGGGUUGGAGUGGCGGUGGCGGGACUGGUCAUGGCUGGCGUGUUGGUUGCGCUUGGCUGGUGCGGCUGCGGCUGCGGCUGCGGAGGCGAUGAUGGUGGUGAUGAUGGUGGGCGCGAUGGAGGGGCGCCGCGGGGUGGCUGGCGGUCUUGUGAGUAGCAGUGGCUUUCAAUGUUCCCUUGAUCAGCGGCGGCGGCGGCAGCGGCGGCCAGAGUGUGGCGACGGGCGGCGCUAGAGAAGUGAAGGGGGAGAGAGGCGGCGGAGGAGGAGAAGGGGAGGAGUGGGGGCAGUGGCGGUGCUGAGGGACGGUGGGGGAGCCCAGGGGGUGGCGUUGGCAGCGGCCGCGGCCGCGGCGGUAGCGGGACCGGAGUUUUGCUGGAGGCGGACAGUGAAGCGCGUGAUGUCGUGGAGACGUCGUCGUGACGGGCGCGGCGGUGGUGGUGGUAGUGGUUAGGAAGGACGAUUGGAAUGAAGGGCACUGGAGUGGCUGGAAUAGCUGCGAAGCGCGGAGGAUGGGGAAUAAGGCGAGGAGUGGGCGUUGGGAGGAAAAGCUGCUGCAGGCCGUAAAGCUGUAUGAGACGCGAUAUCAGCGAAGAGCGUUGCUGAUGGGUAAGAUGCAGCGGCAUCAAAAGCGAAUCAAAAACGGAUAUUUAAUGCGGGCUUGAAUUCAUUCGAGCCGUUAUGGAGUUUCACUUUUUACUGUGCGGGUUCCGGAAUGUUUGUCGUAAGUUCCUUCAACUGGCGGCCCCGGAAGCAAAAACGGGUGACGCAACGCGCGCGCGCGGAAGAUAUAUUGUUCAGAGGAAAAACGUGAUCAUCUCAUUGUGGUUCAACUACCUGGCUGGUUGAAAAUCAUCUGAUCAAAAUUGCUGGAGCGUCAGAGCCCGUCGGGGUGCCGAGCCGUCUCUCCCGCUUGGUUGCGUUCUGCGGGCAAAACUAACUAACUGACUAACGGGCUCCUAACGAACUAACGCGCUGCUGCAGCGCAGAUGCGCACAGCCGUUUUUUUUCAUGGCCGCACACACACACACACACAUGGAUGAAUGAAUGUCUGCACGUCUUGCUGUCCUUACACAGAGGCCCAAAGCCUAAUACUCCCAGCCCUUCAACGGACCCACGGGUCAUAGCGAGCUGAGCUUUCUUUUAAGGGCUUCCUCACGUGGGGCAAACAGUUCACGUAUUGAAUACACAACCGCCUACAACCACCCACAACCGCAACUUAAAAGAUCAGCUCCAGGCUUGAUUAUCUUCUAUGAUACGGAUGCAAAUGGCGUUGGCUGAUACAACGUUUCAGACCUGGGUGCGGGUAUUGCACCCACCGGCAUCCCCUUGCCACGAACCACCCCCCAUCGCGUCUCAAAACCCGCCACCAACCCUAGCCUGAUUUCCCCCUCCUUUUACCCCUUCCUUUCCGUGUAUGUAUGUGUAUGUGUAUGAUGUUACAGGGUGAUAUAGCUUCACCAGCGGCCCCCUUUCCCGAGGCAGUUCCCUGCUCUCCCCUGCGAGAGGGGCACCCUAAUCCAAUCACCUCACCCGACUUCAGAAUGUAUUCAUUAGAAUCAGCAACUCACCACCAGUAUCCAACUAAUGUAGCGGAUCAACGGCGCCUCAACUUGGUUCCUGGUCAGCUCGCAAGUUGAUAUAAUCACGUCCUACACCGUCCACAAGAUGGGGGGCCACCUCCCAAUUCAACACUCCUCAAACACCCGAGGAGUCGGCAGGCGGAUUUGAAUCCGGACCCUCCGGGAGCAGAAGUCCGGCCUUAACUGCUGCCAGCCACCUGCCUUAAAUGUGUAUGUAUGUGUGCGUAUAUGUAUGGCCGUGCGCACGUGUGUGUGGUGGUGUUAAUGUUACAGCGGUGGGCUACCAAGCUUCUUUGCCUGAAAGCAAAGCAGCCGAGCCAAAGGACACAUCAGCUGACGCUGCAGGAAAUACAGACCAGGAAAAGCAGGCUGGCUGGUUCGUAACGGCACGCAAACCUACUACUCAACAGGCUGGGGAGAGACCGGACUGCUAGCACUGCACUGCUGAUACCAGCAGGGUUUUUUUUGCCGAUAUGGCUCACCAAUGAGUGAUAACCUCGUUCCUAACAAUACCGGCAAAUCUGCCUGUGUGCGUGUGUCGGCUUUAAUGCCUGCCACGCCAUUCAUCUGCCCCACUAUGCUAGACCUUCGUGCCAUUUUCUAAUACGUGCCGCCUCCUUGUUCGUCUUUGCGUGGUACGACUCGGCCAUGGCUGUAUGAGACGGAUCGCACCACAACCUGGCUCUGGGCUGGACGUGCGUGUUGAACAAGAGUGGAUGCAUUACUUGAAUUGGGGAGUGGGUGGCUGUGUCGGGAGGCUGGCACGUGUACUGGGGGUAGUAGGUCUAUAUUACCGUGCCGUGCGCAGGGCAUCCGCGACGUACGUACGAUGACGUGCGUGCAGUGACAACCGCCGUAUGUGGCCAAUAGUGUUUGGCUGUGUGCAAUGUGUGUGUAUCUAGAACCGAAGAAACCGCGCUGUCCGUGAGGCUUGCGUUCCCCGUAUGCGCCCCCAUGAACCUGUGGUAUGGAGCUAGGGAAGAGCGCAACGCGCGCGUAGGGGAGAGCGCAACGCGCAAUGCACCCUCGCAUUAGAAGAAAGGGGGUUUCGAAUCAUCAGACCGAGGUGCCGAGCUGGUUUGUUACCCCAGUGAACGGAAAAGACCUAGCUACCGCCCAGCGCGCUUACAGACCCGUUCACACAGGAGACGACACAGACGCAUAAAAGUGUAAUCUUUGUUGCGUCCGCGACGAUGCUGCGGCAAGUUGACAGCGGCAACUGUUGCGGCAUAAUGCCGAGAGUACAGUCAUGCAAUUACUGAGGUGCAGUUUCACCGCAGGCUCGUCGGCAACAUUCCUUGCUCUUGAAGGGCAUCCUUGAAAGAAGUCGAUGAACAUGCUAGAAAUCGAGGUAUUAAAGCACCCAUAACAAUUAUCUACAUAUUUCUUAAGUGGGCAAGCGACCUGCCAAACACGUUCGCCAUGUUGCCUACGUCUACCAGACAUUGCUACCUCGCCCAUGUUUGGGGAUACCAACACGACGUUUCCACCGUAUAUGUUGUGCUGUUAAAAGUACCAUGACUGACAGAAAGCGCUUCUUGCAACUUGGCGAAGGGGUCCCAAGGGUCCGUUCGGUCGUACGGCUGUCGUGACUUUUGGCAUUCUUCAAUGUCAGUGCAGCACAUUUGAAAAUAUCUCUUUUUUAGGUUCCUUGCUCCAGCAUGGCAACAGAGUCAACGCGUAAGACGUUUGCCGUGCUUUAUGACGGAGACGGUUCAACCGCAAAUAUGUACACAAAUUCGGUGUAGACCUUCACUAAUUAUGAUCUCGAGCGUUUCUUUGUUAGUCUUGCUGGCCUCCAAUGUCGUCGCAGGACAGGUAAGUGGUGCUGUUGAAUUCCAAAUUUCCCAGGACUUGGUCAACACUGCUGUAUGUUUGAACUUGAUGACAUAUUUGCGUUUACAGGACCCUCUUAUUGAUUUUCCUGCAUUGCUUGGCGGACGGGGCCUUCACCAAGGCCUUGGAGGCUACUGGCUCAAGUCCGUAACAACAAACCAGAACCGGCGGGUUUACAAUUCCUUGGUGUCUACAACUGCUGUACAUUCAUUACAAGGUCCUUCGCACCCGAGUGGGUUACCUUUUCAAGUACAUCCCGUCUGCAAUUACACCACCUGCUGCAGCCGGCGGACUAGUGACAGCGUCGCGCGCCGCGCUGCCAUAGCUGAAAUACGCUUGGACAAAACUGCGCCACCACCCUUGCUUGCCUGUGGACCCAGCCCAGCAACUGCGGGAGCUGCACCGGCGCCCUGCCACCCGCCGCUUGGGGACCAGCCCGCCCUCCAAGCCUUGCGUACGCGUGUACAGUUGUCACUCCAUGCUCUCCAUCGAACUCUAGCUCAUCUGGGCAAUUCAGCAGCUGCUGCGUUUUCCGGAUCAGGCGCCUUUUCUCCCGCCUCAUGGGCGGCUUUCCUGCCAAUAGGACUAAAGCAGGACAAGCGUCUGCUUGCCCUCGCUCCCGCAGCUCCAGCGCAUGUUGAGCAACUGCUAAAUGUGCCUCAGCACCCGCCGCCGCCAGUGGACACCGCCGGGCCCAAUGCUGAUGGAGCUGCGGACAUAGCAGACGCAUGGCGUGACGUCCCGGUCGACGAAGCAAGCGCACCAGCUGCAGCCCGAUCUUCUUCAGAGCACAACACCUUCAGGUACAAUCUGGAAGCGGUAGCACCAGCGGCGGCAGAGGCACCAGCGGAGGGUCCCUCUGCGGCAUCAGGGACCUGGACGACUUCCAGCAGCGGCUCCCAAGAACCCGACGAAGGAGCCGAAACCAGUACACCACCGCCAUCUGGGUCUGACGACUUACCAAACUACAACAGAGGCGACUCUGCGGUCGAAGAUGACAUUCGUUCCAGGGAUGGGGACCACGACUUCUCAGACGGGCUGGACAUUCGCACCGAGCCCGUCAUCACACAGGAUGACGAGUCCGCCGUUGCGCCAGCCGUGGAGGGGGCGCCCGGGGACGUAGAACCGAUGCCCGCGGAACCGAUACCUGCUGGCAUGGAGUCGUACAGCCCCGGGCUGCGGGCUGAAGAUAGCCGCCCGCAGUCAGAACUGAGCAGCAUGGUUCCAGAAAAGGAAGACUACGUACCGCAGGCAGCAUACUUCAGGGCAGUUGAGGAAGUGGCCGCAAUGCCAAUCGGAACUGAAGGGGGAGGGCGGUGGGGCGGAGAUGACGUGGGCCUGCUGCAGGCGGGAGCGGCAGCGGCAGAGGGGACGGAACAUGCAUUUAUGACGCCGGGCUCGAAUGAUGUGAUUCAGAUCGGGGAGAACACGUCAGUGACAGAUGCAGCGCAAGCAGCGCCUGCACCCUCACCAGUGAAAGCGGAGGUUUUGGAUGCAAGGUCUGCCGCCGAAAAGGCCACUUUGCACGUGAUCUCGGCGGGGCAAUCUAACGAGCUGGGUUUAAGUCCAGAUUGUUCCUUGGAACAAACCGAUCAACGAUUAGCUGCUCAGUCCCCCUGGCAAGAGGACGACUUGGCACUGGUGGACUUGCAAGGGGGGCAAUCGGUGGGACAAGUCCUCGCCUCCGGGGCUGGCGAGCCGACAUUGAAGGUUGCGGUUGCGGAGGCGGCAAAUAAGCCUGCGCCAUGGCAAGUAGCACUGGGGUCUGCUUCACUCUCGCUCUUGUACAAACUGUAUGAUGAUGAUACCGUGCAUGGAGAGAGGAGACGUUUCGCGGCCGACUUGCUCAAUUCACUUGCACGGCGAUCGCUAGCAGUGCAGCAGCAGCUUGCGGCGCCAAGUCACACAGUGGCCGCGGGCGUGGCUGUGGCCGCGGCCGCGGUGCUGCUUGUCGCCUUCCUGCAGAUUAUAUUAUCGGCUCGGGCAGCGCGCCGCCAGGCGCGGGAUCUACGUGUUGCCCUGGAAGGACUUGAAACUCAGGUGGCUGAUGCACGCAGUGACGCGAAACGGCAGCGUGAUGUGCGCGCCGCGACGGUUCGCGCGUUGGCGGUGUCAGCUCGGGAGCGUACAGCAGCCGCGGUGCAGAUCGCUCAGCAGGUUUCGGAGCUGCAGAUUGCGCAGACGGAGCUGACGGCUGCAUUAGUGUCUGCAGUGCGAGACUGGCAGGCUCGAGGGCAGAUGUUGACAGCAACCUUGAGGCGAUGCCGUCGAAGGGCGGAGCGCUUGGCUCAGAUGGCGGCUGUGGAGCGUGUAACGGCGCAGGGGGAGUUGCGGCUCCAAAUGGAGGCGGCGGAACGCCUGGCAGUGUCGGACAGGUUGCGGCACGCGCAGGAGCUAGCGGAGCUGCACCAGCAGAUUGAAAAGGUACGGUGUGUCGGGUGCUUCUCCGCUUCCUUUUCUGUCCGUAAUGUCGGUAUUGCAAGCCCAUUUAAGCCUGUGUUCCCGCUUGCUCUGUGUUUUUUUUAUAGCUGGCGGCCCUUGGAUUGUCCUUGGUUUUCGCACAUUGGCAUCCCGUUACGAGAUUUAAGAAUAAAAAAACACGAAAGACAAUUUAAAGACACUACUUAAGGUUAGACACACAAGACAUUAAAGAAGACACUGGAACUGAAGUGCGUUCUCCUGCAACCUGCUUGCAUCUUGGAACCAACACCCCUCAGGAGCUGGACGCCGAGCGGCAGCGCAACUCAGCCACUGCGGCGGCGGCCCAGAAGCGCUGCGCGCAGUACGCGGCAGCGCUGCGAGAUCAGCGGCGGCGCAAUGGCCGCAACCUGGCGGCAUGGCUAGCGCUGCGUUCCUGGCUUGGGUUGCAAGUAGAGGCACUCUCGGAGCGGGCCACCAAGCUGGUACGUGCCCGCAAGGCGGCGGGAGCAGCAGGGGCUUGCAUGCAAGCGGGGGGCACGCAGGGGGAGGGCGUAAUGAGGAUGAGCAUGCAAUUGCUGACAGCAGUGUUUACUACAACUUCUGCUACACAUUGUGCUCGACGACUGUAUGCGUCACUGUGUGGUCCAACACAACGCCAGUAAUAGAACGAAGCUCCUUCUAUAUAGAAAAUUUCAAAACGAACGCUGUAUGUUGCGAAUUGCUCGGAUAGAACUAGCGACCUCUAAGUUUUCAGUUUUGCGCUCUCCCAACUGAGCUAAAUCCGCCUUGAUGUCAAACUUGGAUUGACUUAGAUUGAACAUAUAUAGCUCUAAUAACAACAUCUGUUGUCAGACCUGUAAAGUACAGGCCCUAAUUUUGUAGUGUCCCAUCAGCUCGCUUGCUUGCUUGGCUUUGUACACAUGUCAACUACCCUUACUUGGCGACGAUGCAAAAUAGAGCAGUGUGCGACAGACUUCCCGGGGGAUGGAGAUCCUGGGGGAGAGGGGGAUGAAUGCCUGGAUUUCCAGCAGCAGGGAUGGAAGGUGUGGGCCUGUCUGGAGCAGUUUCAGGCAUGGCAGGCGAGCUGAUAGCAUUAGCUGGGAAGCAAACAGCAGGAGACAAGGCAAAGAGACUUCGUCUGAAUAGGAAAGGAUGGUCUUAGUGGAUUGAUUACCAUGACCACACUUGUGUAGCCUACGCGCAGUGGCACGGGUUGCGCCAAAACGGGGCCGUGAAUGGAGGUGUCCUCGGCAGCGCCGUCGUAAUCAUGGCUGCCACAAGUCCACUAAUCGUUACCUUACCGUGGGGGACUCAUCGCGGCAGCGCGUAACUUUGGAGACUGACGCAUGGCCGGGCCGCGUGGCUGGCGGCAUCGGGCUACGUGCACAGACGAUGUUACUGGGUGUUAUCCGCAGGCUAUGCUUGGCCAAGGCGCUCUCCAUCAGGCCUUUGCAUCAGUGCAUGGCGACAUUCCGGAUGCGCUGCCUUAAUCUUACUGACACCUCAUCCGUCCCCCUUACCCACCCUUGUAUUGUAACUUGUAUUACUUGCAUGGUGUCCAUGCUUUGGGUUUCGUUCGCACUAUAGCUGGCGUCUUACUCCUGUAUGUAUGUAUGUAUGUAUGUCUCUCCCGCCGUCCCCCCGCCGUCUACCCUGUCCAUCGGCUUUCCUUCAGGCCGCCGAGCAUUCUGCAGCCCUUGAAGAGGCAAACUCCGUAGUGGAGAGACAUCGGAUGCGCGUGGCCAUUGUAAAGCAGCAACUCGCGGAUCAGGUGGGGGCGCCGACGUCCGCAGAUUCUAUUUGUUAUUGUGACGCAAGCGGACGAAUAAAUCUACGCAGCCAGUUUACCGGCAUGGGGGGCUCCGAGUCUGUUCUCUGAGGCCUUUAGGUAGCUGUCGGGCACGACCUUUUGAGGGCCUUUAGGACGUAAGCGGCCAUCGAAACAGAACAGAAGGGGCUUUUCUGGGUCUGGUUUGACACUACUGCAAUUAGCGGUUUAAGGUCCUGGGUUCGAUUCCUGGGGAGACCCCCGAAUUAGUCGGGGGCGCGAGAUUAUGGCUAGCUGCUGAGAUGUGGAGUUGAGGUCACAGUUGAUGGACCAGAUUCGCACGCUGGAUUGGUGGCGAUUGCCGAACCCUCCGUCUCUUCGGGUGUUCGGGUGAAUGGAUGAGGAGGGGUCCCUGAAGGCUGGAUCCGCCGCCUUGGACUUACAGUUCGUAUGGCGAAGUACAGUGUGGUAGUGGUGGAUGGUGCUAUAAGGUGAUAAAUGAUCUAGAACUGACAAUGUGAUAAAGCGGCCCAGAAGCCUCCCACUCUGUAACAUUACAAAAAAAAAUUACAGAAGGGGCUUUUGGAAUGUUCAUGGCCUAGCUGAGGUCGGCCUGUGAAUGGUGGUAUCGCAGCUCAUUGGUUUCACAGAGGGGCCCCUCGCCGGCCCCCUUCAGGGGAUGGUGUCAAUU
RNAcentral lists this long non-coding RNA (45607 nucleotides) under Volvox carteri. RNAcentral's name for it is "long non-coding RNA (VCAR_LNC002690)". Lineage: Eukaryota; Viridiplantae; Chlorophyta; Chlorophyceae; Chlamydomonadales; Volvocaceae. The record is from RNAcentral.